UAAUAUACAGAGCUAAGAGGAAGAGAGUUGCAAUCAUCCGUGUCCAAGCUCGCAUCAACCAUUCGUAUUGUAUAAUUUUCGUAAAAGAUUUAUGGGACAGAGAAUUUCUCUCCUCUCUCAGCCAAAGUGGUGCGAUUAUGGUUCUCACACUCAAAUUCAAAGCCAUAAUGACCACACUGGGAAGGUUAGUUUUUAAAUCGGAAUGAAAAACUGAUAUUCAAAUUCCCACAAAAAGUUGAGCCACAAUCUUGGUUAAUAAGAUGCCGAGCAAAGCAAGCACAGGGAAUAGAAUUACAAAUGAAGCAAAAGCGGCCAUUAGGUGAACAAACAAUGGUAGUAUUGCUUUUAAUUUUGGCAUGCUAAAAUUUUGGGUAGGAUUGAAGAACAACAAUGGGAGCAAGGAAAUAUGUAAGAAAACUUUAUUGUGAGAGGAAGCAUUGUUGAGGACUGAAGACCCCAAUCAAGGCAUAUCAGAUUCCAAGAACAGAGCCAGGAUUACGUCACCAGGGAGACCAAGGGAGCAAGACUUUUCAAUAACAAAAAAAUCUUUUGUUUUAAGAAUAAAACUUCAUAAAUAAAAAAGAAAACUUUUUCUUUUGUAAUUUUUAAAAGGUACAAAUACCAAAACUUGAAUUUAAAAAUAGAUUUAGAGUUAGUUUCAUUUUAAAUGAAGCCAAUUUAGCAUUGAAUUGAUCAUAGAUCAGGUCAGGCUGAAACAAUAUUUAAUUCUAAAAAAAGUUUUAAGUCUUAGGCUUGUUUUCGACCCAACUCUCAAGAGCACAUUUUUUCUUAUUCAAAAAUAAUAAAAUAUUUAAAAUAUUUUUAAUUGAUAUUUUAUAUGUACUUUAUAAUUAAAUUUAAAUUUAAAAAAUAUUCUUUUUAUUAUUUAAAUUAAAUUUGAAUUGAGCCGAUCUAGAUACGAAAAUACUUAUCCAAGCCUAACUCAAAUUGAAUUGAGUUGUAUGGGGUCACAGCUGUAGUUUAGCAGAGUUUGUUUAAAUUGAAGGUGUGUAAAGUUGAAUGAUUAGAUAGGGAUUUAUGAAAAUGAAAUCGAAGGUAAGUUUAAUUUUUGAACUAAUAUAAGAUGUGAUUGAAGCCCAUUCUUUUACGAACUUUGGGCUCGUUGAUUUCUGUAUUCCCGAUUCAGCACCCAUUCAUUUAUUUUAAUUCUACAUACCUUCCGUAUUGUUAUUUAGGGAUAAUAUAGUUAAGUGCACUUGUACAUAUUUGUUUUGGUCUAUUUUCACACUUGAAUUUAACUAUUAGGUAUAUUUUAAUUUUUGAAAUUGAAAAAUAUGAAAGUUUUAUGAUGCGACUCUAUGAGAUUGUACUACAUCAUCACUUGAAAAUUAAAAAACUAUUUAUAUAAAUUUUUAGAGGAUGACGUGGUACAAUCUCUAAGUGCCACGUGUAUUAUUUAAUAAUCGGAUUGGUGGUUAAAUCAGUCAAACCACUAGUUCUCCAUUCAACCAGUUUGAUUAGUUUGACUGCCGGACCAACAAUAAUUAAAUAAAUCAUUAAACAUUCAUAAAAAUCUAAAAAACAAUAAAAGAAAUUUUUGUUAAACCGAUUAAUCAUGGUCAACAGUUGGGGGUUUUCUCAAUUUUCAAUUUUUACCAAUUUCAAGCAAUUUCUUAUUAAAUUGAUUCAAUUUCUUUGUUCAAACCAUCAUACCAAUCGAGUCUCAGUCCAAUCAGUCUGAUCAUUAUUCCAUGUGAGAUAUUAAAAUAAAAAAAUUUACCCUCUUUCAAAUCACUUGUAACAAAACUCUAAAAAUUUGGGAUAAAACACAAAAAAUUUAAGAUCCCAAAUAAAAUAAACGCAUUAAAAAUAUUAUUUGUACAGGUAGUAAUGCAGCCAAUUAGUCUAGAUAUGUUUCAAAUCAAUUGGUUUGAUUCAAUACAAAGCCUAAAUUAUAGUAAAUUUUAUUUGCUCGAUUAAUAGAAUUUAUUUAAAAAGAGCCAAAUGAAAACCACUAUACAACUUUAUGAAGUCGGCAACACAUCCAACACUCAAAGCACAAAGAAACUAGAUGUCAACAAUAAAACAAUAAUGCCAACAUUCUCAAACAUGUCAACAAAAAUAUUCUAAAAAAAAGGAAAUAGGACAUCCCACCUGGAGUGUUGAAAUUCUUGGACUCAGUCGUUAUAACAACAAAAAAGGAAAUAAGACAUCCAACAUUCUCAUCACAAUGCAUUUUCCUCUUACUCACCAACAACCUCUGCAGUGCGAUAACACAAUUAGAGGCUAUUGUGAUAGCAACUUUUAUAAAUAUUCAAAAAUUAACUUUUAAACACAUCUUGUCUUAAUAUAAGGUAAAGGGUUGAUUCAAACAUAAAAAUUUUAACCAAUUCAUCUCACCUCAAUUCAAUUGAUCACAUAACUAAAUUGAUACGAAAAUCUAUUCAUACAAUGUACAUUUAAUUUAUAUAUGAUUUCAAUUAUGGUUUAAAUUUAAAUAUUUUUUAACAAAAAUUUUAAAUAUUUAAUAUUGAACAAAUAGUCAAAUUUCGAAAUUAUGAACAAUAACUUAACACAUAGGUAAAAGUUUUUUUUUUACUUAAUAAUAUUAUUAGCAAUCGGACAUUAUUAAAUUGUAUAUGAAAAUAAUUAAGCUUAAAAAUUAAAAUUUAAAGGUAAUAUCAUUGUGAAAUUUACUCAAAAUUUAUAAUAUAGUUAUUUAUGUACAUAUGUGACACACAUAAUAAGAUAAUUAUAACACUCCUAACCCGUAUCUAUCACUGAAACAAGGUUACGGAGCAUUACCAGAGUUUACAAAUCAAAUAAAUAGACAUUUCAAACAUUUCAUAUCAUAUAAUAUUCAUGUCAGAAAUCAAUCGAAAACAAAUAUAUUGUUAUUUAUACGAGCCCUCGAGGCCCAAAAUAUGCGAUAGAAACAAGUUGGGAUACUCAAAGAAUUUUUUAGAAAACAUUGAAAUUUUUCAAAGUUGUAAGGGUCACACGCCCAUAUGGGCAUUCGAAAUAGGGGCAUACGGCCGUGUCCCAGCCCGUGUCUGUGCUCGUGUAACUCUCUGACUUGGGUCACACGGCCAAGCCACACACUCGUGUACUAGGCCGUGUGAGCAUACUGACUUGCAUUAUUAAGAAGAUAUAGGGGGCACACGACCGUGCCACAUAGCCGUGUGUCACAUACGGUUGAGACACACGCCCAUGUCCCUACUAUAGGUGUCCAUGGGCCGGGUGGCCCGGCCUGACCUGACGGCCCGCCCCGAAAUAUGGGAGGGUUCGGGCAAAAAUAUAGGCCCGAAAUAUGGGUUUAGGGAAAAAAAUGAGGCCAGUUUCGGGCCUCGGGCACCACUUUUUUGGCCCGGGCCCGGCCCGAAUAUAAUAAAUAUUUAUUUUUUUAUUCUUUCAAUUUUAAAAUAUUUUUAAAAUACUUUUUUUAAUUUUUAUUUUUAAAAUAAUUUUUUGGUGUUUAUUAAAAAAUGGGCCGGGCCAGACUUGGGCUUAGGAAUUUUUUCCUGGCCGGGCCUGGACAAAAUUUUAUGCCCAUAUUCCGGGCUAGACUGGGCCUAGGCCUAGGUCACGGGCAAAAAAAUUUCUGGGCCCAGCCCGGCCCAUGGACACCUCUAGUCUCUACCCGUGUGGACGAAAAUAAGCCAUUUUCCAAACCAUAUUUCUCAUCCAAUUUGAUACUAACCUAAACACAACAAUUUGCAUAUAACCAAGUCAUACUAAAUUAGAAAUGCUUUUUAGUUUUUUAGUUUUUUUUCAUUUGAUUGUUAGAUUUUCAUAAAUUUUAGAUGCAAAAUCAUGAUACUUGAUUAGUAUCAUAAAAUUUAAUUGUGAAAAAAAAAGUAACAUAAAAUAAAAGAAUAAAAAAACAAAGAUAGAUGUUGUAACUAAAAACUCGAGUCUGACACUUAAAAUGCAAACUGAAAUUAUUAAAGGAACAGACACAUCUUUAAACCAAACUUUGUAAUAGAAACACCCACCCAUCUUAUAUCUUUAAACCAAACUUCCCAUUUCUAUUUGGGAUAUCAAUGGAAACACCCACCCAUCAGUCUGAUGCACACCAAACUAGUCUUUAGCUUUAAUUGGGAUUAAUAUUUUAUUUUUGAUCAAUUUUUUACACUUUUUUUUUUUUUGGGAAACACCUCAAUCAAAGCACAUCUGAUUUUAUAAAAAUACUUUUGAUUGUUGUGUUCUGUCAUACCCGUAUCCUUAUUUUUAAAAAUUAUCAUAUCAUGCCGUACCCUCGUUACAUAUAUGUAUUUGUGCUUCAUAAGUAGGUUUUAAAUGUUAUUUUAGAAUAAUUAUAUAUGUCUUCAUUUAUUUUGCAUGAGUUUAAAAUAAUAAAAUUUAAAUAUAGGAUAUAAGUCCUAAUUAAUUUGUAUAAAAAAUUAUUUAAUUAAAUUAAAUCCAAAUCUAAAAUCUAAAUUUUAAUUUUAAUUAUCACAACAAUCAACUUAAAUUAAUUCAAAAGCUUAAAUUUGAAAAUACAUGCGUUUCAUUUUAAAUGAAGUCUAGCUUAGCACAGUUAAAUAUCAAAAGUCUAUAAAAGUUGAAUCAUUAGAUUGGAUUAUAUGUGUGCUUCGAGUAAUUACUUAUUUUGCCUGACUUGAAGCCCAUUUUUUUUGGAAUUUCGAGUCUCUUUAGUUACUUUUUGAAUAUUAAAUAUUACAAUUAUUUAAAUUUAUUUUUUUAUCAAAAAUAUUUUUUUUUAGAAUAAAACUUCAUAAAUCAAAAAGAUCCUAAGUCACAACGUAUCACUAAGUCACAAUGCAUCAGGCUUACACUAAUACACCUAGUACCGAUUCUUAGUUAUGUCUUUGAAAUAUCUUCACUAAACAAAUUCGAUUGUCUCAAUUUUAUUUAUUUAAAAUCAAAAUUAUAUAUAUAUAUAUUUAUUUAGCUCAUUUAAAUGAUAUUUAUUUAAAAUGAAUUAAAUGAGAAUCAUUAAACAAUUUUAUAAAGUUGACAACACAUCUAAUAUUUAAAGCACAAAAAAAUUCGAUAUGUCAAUUACAACAAAACAAUAAUACCAACAUUCUCAAAUACGGCAACAAAAUUGUUCUAAAAACAAAAGAUAAGGCAUCACAACUAGAAUGUACAAAUAUUUGGAUUCAAUCAUUAUAACAACAAAAAAGGAAACAAAACAUCAAACAUCCUCAUCACAAUGGAUUCUUCGGUGACUCGCCAACAACCUCUGCAAUGCAAUAAUACAAAAGGAGGUUAUUGUGAUAACAACUCUUACAAAUAUUCAAAAAUUAACUUUUAGAUGCAGCAUGUCUCAAUCUAAGGCAAAGGGUUUAUCCAAACAUGAAAAUUUUAACCAACUUAAUUCAAUUCAAUUCAACUCAAACCUCAAUCUAUCUAUGUAGUUUACUUUUAAUUUAUAUAUAAUUUCGAUUAUGGUUUAAAUUUAAAUAUUUUUUUGACAAAAAAUAUAAAUAAAACAAAUAGUGAUAUUAAUGAAAAUUUGUAAUUAUGAACAAUAACUUAACGCAUAGGUAAAAGCUUUUUUUUUUUUACUGAAUAAUAUUAUUAGCAAUAGUACAUUAUUAAUUGUAUGUGAAAAUAAUGAAGCUUAAAAAUUAAAAUUUAAAGAUAAUAUCAUUGUCAAAUUUACUCAAAAUUUAUUUUUAACUAUAGUUAUCUAUGUACAUAUGUGACACACAUAAUAAGAUACUUAUAUAUAUAUAUAUAUAUAAUAAUAAUAAUAAUAAGGCAAAAUAAUACAAAACCAAAAGGUAAGACAAUGAAGUGAAAUAUUUCUAACCUUAUGCAAUAUUUGAAAUUGUUAUAAUAACAGUAUCCAACGAAAAUUAGACAUCAACAGAAUGAUUACGUAAAAACUUAAAUCCAAUUGUUACAUAAUAUGAAAAAUAAAAUAAUUAUAUUAUGUAAAUAGAUCAUUCCUGAUUACAAUGAAUAAUAAUCCUUACAAAAAAAUUUAAUAAUUCAAAACUAUAAACAAUAAUUUAUAAACGAUAUUAAAAUAAAAAUAUUAGAAUUUUAAUAUACAAAAAUUUAUAUAGAAAUAUUUUUUGAAGUUUUACAUCAAUUUAAAAAAAAUUGAAAUUGGUAAACGUCCACACUUCAAAAAUCAUUUUUGAUUUUAUCCUUGUUAAUAAUUUUCUAUCGAUUUACAAAAAAAAAAAAAUAAUGAAAAUACAGACAAUAUCUCACAAAAACAUUUUGUAUUAAAAUAAAGAUUUAAUUCUUGUUUUCGAAAUCGUAACGGGUUUGUUUGAUCAAAAACCUGUUAAAGUAUCGGUUCAAAGAGAGGUAAAAAUUUGAUUGACUCGUGAGUCAGUAUGAACUAGUUGAAUCAAUUUAAAAAUCAAUUGAAUAGAUGAUUGAAUCAGUUGAACUAUAUUUUAUAAUUUUUAAUAAUUUUUAAUUAUUUAAUUUGAACCAGACGAAUUAAAUGGUUUGACUAGUUUGGCCAAGGUUGCUCAAAUGGAACUAAACAGAUUAGUCAUAUCAAUUAAAUUGGAAACUUAUAAUAGUGUUGAUUCAAAAAAUAAAAUAUUGAAUCAAUUAAUUUGAGAACUGAUACAAACCUAUUGAACCAAAUAAAAAAAUUAAUUAAACUUAAUUUUAGUAUUUUUAUUUUAAUAAUUUAUUUAAUCAUUAAGAUUAAUUAGAACAAUGAACCAAUGAUUUAAAUUUCGUCAUAAUCUAAUUCUAAAAAUUGUGGAUUUGAGCGCUCCCAAAUUUCCCUUCGCUUUCUCUCUCUCUCUCUGUUCUUCAACAUCGUGUUUAGAUCCGUCCCUCCCAUCCUUGAAAGAUUCCAUCUUUGACCCUUCUUCGUUGAAUCUAUCAAACAAAUUAGGGUUCCGAUCUGUUACUUGUUGUGUUCGUUUAAAAAAAAAAUUUCUUUGCCUCAAAAUUUCAUCUUCAGAAAAAGAAAAAAAAAGGAGAGAGAGAGAGAGAGAGAGAGAGUUUUCGAUUUUCCUUGAUUUUGCUUGAGAUUUAUGUUCUAAUCUGAAAUUCAUUACCUUAAUGAUUUGCUAUAUCGGUUCGAUCUCCAUUACGAUUGCUUGAUUUUGUGUCGGAUUUGGGGUUAAAUCCAAGCUUGGGCGUUUUUACAUUAAAUCAGUAACCAUCGGCCCAAACUCUACGCCUCUUUCUAUCUGGAAAAUUUUUACAUUAAAACAAACGGAGUUUGAAAGUUAAAAAUUGACAUUCCAUUGAAUUUAAGUUUGAAAGUUUGGCUCAACUCACCGAUUACACCCGCUUACAUGAAGUAGAAGCCCUUAUUACAUCGAUACAUCUGUGUGUGUGUGUGUUUUCCGCUUCCUCUUCUUUCUUUUGGCCCUUUUUUAUUUUUCUCAAAAAUCCUCACCUACAGCUUACUCCAUUCCCUGACAUUUUCUCUUAAAAUUACACUGAAAAAGCUCACAUGUUCCCCAAACUUCAUCUAUUACUCAAGUUUCGAUUCCUUGUCUCCGCAUCCAACCGCCACUGUACACAGUCAAACUCUGUUUUUCGAAUUACCGCCACCUAUUCGACGAUAUGCCCAAACCAAGUUGAAAGCCCGAAUGAAGAAGCUAUAGAGCAUCCGAGAGACUCCAUCGAGAUUUUCAAGCAAUGGGGUUGCUGUGAAAACGAUUUGUUGAAGAUCUUUUCACGCCAACCUUCUUUGCGCAACGCUCAAGCUACUUCCCUUUUAUCCAAACUCAACUUGCUGAGUAGCUUGGGACUCAGCGGUUCCGACAUUGUCAAGAUGGUCAAUUGUCGUCCUCGUUUCUUUUGUUCUCGUAUCAAUAAUUGCUUCGACGAGCGGAUUGAGUUCCUCGUUAACCUGUUCGGGUCGCGAGAAAUGCUUCGUAAAGCACUUGUUAGGAACCCUUCACUCUUGACCUAUGAUUUUCACAAUACCAUGAAACCAGUCAUUGCAUUGUACGAAGAGAUUGGCAUUAGUGGAAGUGAUUUGAUUGCUAUGCUCAUCUCACGUCCCACAUUGAUCCCAAGGACUUCUUUCAAUGAGGAGAAGAUGGAAUACAUAAAGAAAACAAGGGUUUCAAAAGGUUCCAAAAUGUACAAGUACGUAGUUUCACUCAUCGGAAUAUCGCGGAUCGAGACUACGUGAAAAGGUGACUAACUUGGAGAAAUUCGGAUGUUCAGAGGAAGAGAUUUGGAGUUUGUUGGGACGUUCUCCUCUUAUUUUGACACUCUCGGUUGAUAAGGUUCAAAGGAACAUGACAUUUGUUUUGGGAACCAUGAAGCUGUCUCCAAGAGUGGUUCUUGAGCACCCGUUUUUGUUGUUCAGCAACCUCGAAGCCGUAUUGAAACCGCGGAUAUCGUUGGCUCGGAAACUAAAGGAAAUGGAGCUUGAUCCGCAGAUUAAAGGAUCGAUCAUGUUGACAGCAUUGAGGAUGACGGAAAAUCGAUUCUUGAAUGUGUUUAUUAAAUGCCAUCCACAAGAUGUGGCAAAUGAACUGUUGGAGUUCUAUAAACAUGCCAAAGGUCUCAAGCCAUUGGCCGAAUCAUCGAAAAAAAUACUGCGUAAAGGAUUUCCAUUUUGAACAUUUUCGUUUGUUUGUUUGGUGCUGUCUUCGUUUUCUUUUUGUUCAUCCAUGUCAAGGGAUAUUUCGGUUAAAUUUUCAGAUUUAUAACUUUUAUUCUCAAAGGGAUAAUGUGAGACUCAAAAUUUUGGGAUAUAAAAAGGGAUGCCUCUUCGUGUUUCAUUGGUGUUCUCUCUCUGCCUAUAUCCCUUGUACUCCUCGUGAUGAAGAGUUGAAAUUUUUUCUAUGUAUGAUGGCUGGAGGGAAUAUAGAUUAUGAAACUCCACCAUUAUUAACUUUGUACGCUCAAUUGGCACCGGUUAAAGCGUGUUUAAAGGCGUAUUUUCUUUUUAUUUAAGAGUUUAAAAGAGAUUAUGAUUUGUGAACAAUAAUUUUUUAAGGUAAAUCUAAUUCUAUAUAUUUUGACCGAUGAUUAUUUUUAUCCUUAAGGUAAAUUUGUGUUAAUUUUGGUUUGGAUGAUGUUUAUUAUUUUUAUUAAUUACUUUUCAACACGGAUAAAAUCUUGCACCAAUUAAAAUUCAUAUAUUAUUAUUAAUAAAAGAUAAAUAAACAAAUUAAAUCUUUUUAAAUGUCUUUUAUAAAUUAGUUUCUUAUUUAUUUUUAAAGUUUAUUAAAUAAUAUUAUUUUAUUUUAUAACUAAUGUAAAGUAAUAUAUAAGGUAAAAUAAUAUAAAGCUAAAAUGAAGUGAAAUGUGUUAAGAAAUGGCUUAAAAUUGGUAGUGGAUUGUUGUUGUUGGUAGUGGGUUGUUGGUGGUAGUGGAUUAGUGGAUGGUUGUUGGUGUCCAUUUUCAACCACAAAUCUUUGCCAAAGUUUUGGACAAUUAUGUCCUUGAACUCUCUUAUAAAUAGAGAGGUUCAUUAGCCAUAUAAAUCAUCCCAAACCAAGAGAGAGCAAAGCUUGUUCUUUGAAAGCUAGGAUUUUAGCUUUCGGAUUUUCUAUAGGGGUUGAGAGUUGUGAGGUUCUCGGGUUGUGUCUUGAGUGUAAAACACUUGUAAUCUUCAUCUUGUUAUAGUGAAAUUUCUUUUCGCCUCUGCCCGUGGACGUAGGCAUUAAAGCCGAACCACGUAAAUCCUUGUGUUCACUUUAUUUUUCGUUUCGGUCAAUUUACUUGUAGUCAUAUCGGAGUUCUCGAAUCGAUCCUUUCCGCAACAAAUUGGUAUCAGAGCGUAGUUGAAGGAGUGAUAAUAUUUUCUGAAUUGCCCUGUGACUGCAGCUUUGUCUGAUCUUUCACAUCAGGAAGAAAAUAUUAUCAUUCAUUCAAAGGUUCCAAAUUAUGGCUACAAGUGUUUCAUCGACUAAGUAUGAUGUCGAGAAAUUUACCGGAAAAAAUAGUUUCAGUUUAUGGCGCAUCAAGAUGCGGGCAGUGCUGGUUCAACAAGGAUUGCUAAAAGCAUUGUCUGGUAAAGAUAAAUUACCAAGCACGCUUUCGGAAGAGCAAAAGGAUGACAUGCUAGAAAGAGCACAUAGUGCUAUUCUGCUAUGUCUAGGAGAUGAAGUGCUACGAGAAGUAGCGGAUGAGAAAACCGCGUCCGGUUUGUGGCUCCGGUUAGAGAGCAAGUACAUGACGAAGUCAUUGACGAACCGGCUCUACCUCAAGCAAAGACUCUAUGCCCUGAAGAUGGAGGAAGGUACACCUGUUUCCCAGCACCUGGAUAAAUUCAAUUCCAUUAUCAUGGAUUUGAAUAAUAUCGAUAACAAAAUCGAUGAUGAGGACCAAGCAAUAAUUGUUUUGUGUUCUUUGCCUCCCUCGUAUGAGAAUUUUGUUGAUACAAUGAUGUACGGUCGUGAUGACCUGACUCUAGAGGAGGUGAAAAAUGCCUUAAGUUCCAGUGAGUUGAGGAAGAAAAUCACUGGUAAGGUGGUCGAAAACAAUGAAGGCGAAGGCUUGGUUGCUCGAGGAAGAUCCAAGGCAAAGGGUGGAAGUUCAAGUAAAAGCCAUCCUAGAUCGCAGUCCAAGAAGAGAAUACAGUGCUACUACUGUAAGAAGUACGGGCACAUGAAGGUAGAUUGUCCGAAAAGGAAGGAGAAAUCAGAAUCACAGGAGCAACAAAAUGAUCGUGCGAAUGUAGCUGAUGCAGAUUCUUCAAGUGAUGCCGAGAUCGUUCUUGCAGUAUCCGACUCUUACGCUGGUGGGAGAUGGAUUCUUGAUACGGGAGCUACAUUUCAUAUAAGUACUUCGAAAGAUGCAUUCUCAACAUACGAGAAGCAUUCUGGUUCAGUACUAAUGGGAAAUGACCACGCAUGUCAAGUCAUGGGGAUUGGCACAGUUCGUAUAAAGAUGUUUGACGGUAUUGUUAGAACUCUAACUGAUGUUCGGCACAUUCCAGAAAUGAAGAAAAAUUUGAUCUCUUUGAGUACGUUGGACAAGAAAGGCUUUCGGUACUCUGCUGAAGGUGGAGUUCUCAAGGUAUUCUCGGGUGCUUUGACUGUGAUACGUGGUAAUUUGGAGCGGGGCCUUUACUUCCUCGAUGGUUCCUCGGUUACAGGUGUUGCGGGAGUGUCAUCAUCAGAUGAUCUAGAUUCUGACACCACGAAGUUAUGGCAUAUGCGGCUCGGGCAUAUGAGCGAGAGAGGCUUAUCGGUGCUAAGCAAACGAGGAUUAUUGUCUGGGCAGUGUACAGGAAAGUUGAAUUUCUGUGAGCACUGCGUCUUCUGUAAGCAGACUCGGGUAAAGUUCAGCACUGGGAUUCACAAGACAAAAGGCACAGUGGAUUACUUCCAUUCUGACCUUUGGGGGCCUUCUCCGACAAUUUCUAAAGGUGGUUACAGAUAUCUGCUUACCUUUAUCGAUGAUUACUCGAGAAAGGUUUGGGUGUAUUUUCUGAAGAGCAAGUAUGAGGUUCUCAUCAACUUCAAGCAAUUUAAAGCUUUGAUCGAAAAUCAAACAGGAAAGAAGAUCAAGCGAUUCCGGACGGAUAAUGGCUUGGAGUUUUGCUCAGGUGAAUUCAAUGAGUUCUGCAAAAAUGAAGGAAUAGUGAGACACCGCACUGUUCGUCGAACACCACAACAAAAUGGAGUUGCAGAACGCAUGAAUAGAACUCUCUUGGAGCGAGCUCGUUGCAUGCGAUCAAAUGCUGGGCUCGGUGAAGAAUUUUGGGCUGAAGCUGUUAAUACUGCUUGUUAUUUGGUUAACAGAUCUCCGUCAACAGCUAUUGAGCUGAAGACUCCUGAGGAAGUAUGGUCUGGUUCUCCUGCUGAUUACUCUGGUUUAAGAGUGUUUGGCUGCCCUGCGUAUGCUCAUGUAAAUGAGGGAAAACUCAAACCGAGGGCGAAGAAAUGCAUAUUUCUUGGAUACGGCCAAGGGGUGAAAGGAUACAGGUUGUGGUGUCCUGAUCCGGUUUCGUCCAAGUUCAUCAUCAGCAGAGAUGUGACUUUUGAUGAGUCAUCCAUGCUUCGAUCCACCACAAAUUCCCGGGAAAAGGAGGAGUCAGAUAGAAUGGGAGAUCACGGUGUUGAGAAGCAGGUGGAGUGUCAGGUGGACGCUCCAAUUCCUACGGAAGGUACUUCAGUCCAGGAUGAUCAAGUUGAGGUGCAAGAUUCCGAUGAAGAUGAGUCACCUCAAGAAAAACCAUAUAGCAUUGCCACUGGAAGAACGAAGAGACAAAUCAAACCAAAUCCGCGUUACGCUAAUCUGGUGUCUUUCGCGCUCAGUGUGGCGGAGUCCAUUGGUAUAGAACCUUCCAGUUAUAAUGAGGCUGUCACGUGUGAUGAGUCGGCACAGUGGGCAAUUGCUAUGAGUGAGGAGAUAGAAUCUCUUCACAAGAACCAUACUUGGGAGUUGGUUAAGCCGCCAAGUAACCAGAAGAUAGUUGGUUGCAAAUGGGUCUUCAAGAAAAAGGAAGGCAUCCUAGGGGUUGAAGCAACUAGAUUCAAGGCACGAUUGGUUGCUAAAGGCUUCACUCAGAAAGAGGGGAUUGACUACAAUGAAGUUUUCUCCCCAGUCGUAAAGCAUUCUUCCAUUCGUGUAUUACUUGCCAUGGUGGCCAAGUCUGAUCUAGAACUUGAGCAGCUUGACGUAAAAACGGCGUUCUUGCAUGGUGAGCUCGAGGAAACAAUCUACAUGCGUCAACCAGAGGGUUUUACAGUUCCUGGUAAAGAAGACCAUGUCUGUCUAUUAAAGAAGUCUUUAUAUGGAUUGAAACAAUCCCCAAGGCAGUGGUACAAGCGGUUUGAUAGCUUCAUGAUUCAGCAUGGUUACACAAGAUGUGACUAUGAUGCUUGUGUCUAUCAUCGGAAGCUCUCAGAUGGUUCGCACAUUUAUUUGUUGCUGUAUGUUGAUGACAUGUUAAUUGCUUCCAAAAACAUGUCGGAAAUCAACAAGUUAAAGUCGCAGUUGAGUGGUGAGUUCGAGAUGAAGGAUCUGGGUGCUGCCAAGAAAAUUUUGGGCAUGGAUAUUCACAGAGAUCGCAAGGCGGGCAAGCUUCGUGUGUCGCAGAAGAACUACAUUGAAAAGGUUCUUCAACGCUUCGGCAUGGAUAAAGCGAAAACUGUGAGUACUCCGUUGGCACCACAUUUCAAACUCUCUGCAGAGUUGUCACCACAAUCUGAUGAAGAAAAGCAGCAAAUGUCUCACAUUCCAUACUCGAGUGCAGUUGGAAGCGUGAUGUAUGCAAUGGUUUGCACUCGUCCAGACAUUUCACAUGCAGUUAGUGUGGUCAGCAGAUACAUGAGUUGUCCUGGCAAGGAACACUGGCAGGCCGUGAAAUGGAUUCUCAGGUACUUGAGAGGUUCUGCAGAUUUAUGCUUGGUAUAUGAUCAGAGUGACUGCACUAGCAGUGUCACGGGCUAUGUGGACUCUGAUUAUGCUGGAGAUCUGGACAAAAGAAGAUCUCUGACGGGUUAUGUUUUCACUUAUUCUGGAGGAGCCAUUAGUUGGAAAGCUGUGUUACAGUCUACCGUAGCCUUAUCUACGACUGAGGCGGAAUAUAUGGCGUUAGCAGAAGCAGUGAAAGAAGCAUUGUGGAUGAAAGGUCUAGUAAGCAGUUUGGGUUUACAACAGGAUUUCACUGUUGUAUUUUGCGAUAGCCAGAGUGCCAUACAUCUGACUAAAAAUCAGAUGUUUCAUGAACGGACCAAACACAUUGAUGUCAGAUAUCAUUUUGUUCGGGAACAUGUUACGCAAGGUGACAUUGUUAUCAGCAAGGUUGCUACCGAGAAGAAUCCUGCAGAUAUGUUAACUAAGGUGAUCCCUGCAUAUAAGUUCAAGCAUUGCUUGGACUUGAUAGGUAUUCGGGAUUGAUUAGCGCCAGAGAGGCGUUUGGAAGAGGUGAUCCAGUUCGAGGAAUUCACUAUGAUGUUCAGCUUGGUAAAUUUCAAGCCAAGGUGGAGAUUUGUUAAGAAAUGGCUUAAAAUUGGUAGUGGAUUGUUGUUGUUGGUAGUGGGUUGUUGGUGGUAGUGGAUUAGUGGAUGGUUGUUGGUGUCCAUUUUCAACCACAAAUCUUUGCCAAAGUUUUGGACAAUUAUGUCCUUGAACUCUCUUAUAAAUAGAGAGGUUCAUUAGCCAUAUAAAUCAUCCCAAACCAAGAGAGAGCAAAGCUUGUUCUUUGAAAGCUAGGAUUUUAGCUUUCGGAUUUUCUAUAGGGGUUGAGAGUUGUGAGGUUCUCGGGUUGUGUCUUGAGUGUAAAACACUUGUAAUCUUCAUCUUGUUAUAGUGAAAUUUCUUUUCGCCUCUGCCCGUGGACGUAGGCAUUAAAGCCGAACCACGUAAAUCCUUGUGUUCACUUAUUUUUCGUUUCGGUCAAUUUACUUGUAGUCAUAUCGGAGUUCUCGAAUCGAUCCUUUCCGCAACAAAAUGUUUCUAACCUCGUACAAUAUUUCAACUUGUUGUAAUACCAGUAUCCAGUGNNNNNNNNNNNNNNNNNNNNNNNNNNNNNNNNNNNNNNNNNNNNNNNNNNNNNNNNNNNNNNNNNNNNNNNNNNNNNNNNNNNNNNNNNNNNNNNNNNNNNNNNNNNNNNNNNNNNNNNNNNNNNNNNNNNNNNNNNNNNNNNNNNNNNNNNNNNNNNNNNNNNNNNNNNNNNNNNNNNNNNNNNNNNNNNNNNNNNNNNNNNNNNNNNNNNNNNNNNNNNNNNNNNNNNNNNNNNNNNNNNNNNNNNNNNNNNNNNNNNNNNNNNNNNNNNNNNNNNNNNNNNNNNNNNNNNNNNNNNNNNNNNNNNNNNNNNNNNNNNNNNNNNNNNNNNNNNNNNNNNNNNNNNNNNNNNNNNNNNNNNNNNNNNNNNNNNNNNNNNNNNNNNNNNNNNNNNNNNNNNNNNNNNNNNNNNNNNNNNNNNNNNNNNNNNNNNNNNNNNNNNNNNNNNNNNNNNNNNNNNNNNNNNNNNNNNNNNNNNNNNNNNNNNNNNNNNNNNNNNUAGUGUGGUCAACAAAUGCAUUCACAUUCUUUCUCCUUCCAACUAUUUCCAUCAAUAACAUUCCAAAACUAUAAACAUCGGCUUUGUAUGAGAUGCCUCCAAGAUUUUUGUAAACCAAUUCAGGAGCAAUAUAUCCUAUUGUUCCUCGUGCUGCAAUGAGAGAGACAAUGCUAUCAUCUACUGAAUACAAUUUAGCAAGGCCAAAAUCGAGAACUUUUGGAUUAAAAUUCUCAUCAAGAAGAAUAUUGUGUGGCUAGUUAUCAAAAUGUAGAACUUACCCAAAAGCUCGUUUUUUAUUCGAAAAUAUUAAUAAUGUUUUUAAUUGAUAUUUUACAUAUUUCUAUAAUUAAAUUUAAAUUUUAAAAUUUUUGUAUUAUUUAAAUUAAAAUAAAAAUAUUUAUCCAAGCCUAACCCAAAUCGAGUUGGGCCGGGUGGGCGAUCCGGUCAUGAUAGGAAAGGAAAAAAAAGGAAAGACGAAGCCUAAACAGGCAGUGUGCAGCCCACUAAAUUUAUUUUAAUUUUACAUACAUUCCAUAUUAUUAUUUAGGGAUAAUAUAAUUUUUGACCCCUAAUCUUGAUAGUUAGGUGGACUUUAGUACAUAUGUCUUUUUUGUUCUACUUUGACACUUGAACUUCACAAUUAAGUAUAUUUUGGUUCCUAAACUUAAAAAUUUUGAAAGUUUUAUGAUGCAACUCUCUGAGAUUGUGUUACAUCAUCACUUAAAAAUUAAAAUAUAUAUUUAUAUAUCAUCUAUUGAGCCUGCCCAAUCAUUGUCAACAAAACCAAGGAGCUUCAUGCUGUCAACCUUGAUAAACAUCAUCCCAAAGCUUAGAGUACCUUUGAUGUACCUGAUAACUCUCUUACCAGCUUGAAAAUGGCUCACAUUGCAGCAAUGCAUGACCCUGGACAGGAGGCUGACUGCAAACAUUAUGUCUGGUCUUGUGGCUGUCAAGUACAGAAGGCUACCUUCUCGAAAUCACCCUGGCUGGUCAACUUUUCUCCAAUAGCAACUGGUGUGCUAGUUGCUUUACUGUUCAACAUGGAGAACCUGUUUAGAAUUUUCAAGGCAAAAGCCUUUUGGCUUGGGAAAAUCCCUUGUUUAUUCUGAGAUACUUCCAUACCAAGGAAAUAGGUCAUUUCUCCUAAGUCUGACAUCUCAAACAUGCUCUCCAUUUUUCCUUUAAAGUCUGUCAACAUAGCAUUGUUACUUCCUGUCACUAGCAAAUCAUCCACAUCGCUUUUUCAUCGUCAGAAGGCAAUAAUUGUAUACACCAAAAGGUUGUUAUUAUCAUCUUCUUCACCAUUGCUUUUUCAUCGUCAGAAACAUCUCUUAACUCCAUGUCCCCUCCUUGAUCCAAUCUGUCAUCAAUCCAUGAUGGAAAAUAUAUCUGACUAGUGUCGUCAACAAAAGCAUUUUCAUUCUUUCUCCUUCCUAUCAUUUCCAUCAACAACAUUCUAAAACUAUAAAUACCGGCUUUGUAUGAGAUGCCUCCAAGAUUUUUGUAAACCAAUUCAAGAGCAAUAUAUUCUAUUGUUCCUCGUGCCACAGUGAGAGAGACAAUGCUAUCAUCUAUAGAAAACAAUUUAGCAAGAUCAAAAUCGAAAACUUUUAAAUUAUAAUUCUCAUCAAGAAGAAUAUUGUGUGGUUUAAUACCAAAAUCAAAAACUUUUGGAUUAUGUUGAUAAGUAUUAGUCCCAUAUGCAUGGGAGAGUAUUAAGUUGAAAUAUUAAAUUUAGAGUUUAUUAUAAUAAUUUUUUAUUCAAACGGUUUAUUCUAACAAGAGCGGAAACUUUUAUAAUUUAAUACAAUUAAUUUUAUUAUUUUAUAAUGAAAAGCAAAAGAAAAAGAAGAUUUUAAAUUGUAAAAAAAAUUUAAAUAAAUUUGGACCUUAUACUUGUAGAUAAACCUUUAUCAAUUUAAUAAAUUCCAACUAUAAUGUGGAUGACCAAGAGAAUGCACGUCUUAAGUCUUCAUUGAAACACAAAAGCAUUUAAGUCUUUGAGUUUUUAUAUCAUCGCUUUGGUCCUUUUGUGUUAUGUAAGUCGAGCUAGGCAUAUUCCACCCAACCCAUGGAUCACGCUAGACGAGAUUUCAUGUCUAAUUGUAUAGAUCUUUUAUUUUAGUCGACAACUACUCAAGUAUUUUUAAAAUAUUUUUUAAUAUAAUUACAUAGGUUGUUGAUUUUAUUUUAUAAUCUCUUUUUAUUUUGCUUAAUUUUAAUUUUAUUUUUCAAUUCUAAACUCCUUUAUUUUUAUUUUACAUGUUGAUUAAAGAAAUAAAAUUAUCGCCUUUCUUUAUGGAUAUGACCUUACUUGUUGCUAUCUACUAAUUUUAUAUUUUUUAAGUAGGUUUUUAUUGUUAUAGAUCUCCACAACUUAACAAAUAAGAAUUUGAGCCCAAAGAGAUAUUGAAUUUGGUGGUGCAAUAGAAUAUUUUCAUUGCUUUUGUGCAAUUCUAAACAUUCAUAACACUACUACGCCUAUUAGGAACAUAAAACAAAAAUAAAGAGAUCCCAUUGAAAAAUCCAAGUCCAUGGAACAGAGAGUAGAUUUCUUGGAUAUUCUCAUAUUCAAGUUCACACCUACAAUAACCACACUGGCGAGAUUGUUUUUUCAAUCGCACGGCAUAAAUGUUAAUUAAGUUCCCAAGAGCGGCAAAGCAUGAAAGAAUAAAUUUAGAAACAAAUCAAAAGCGGCCAUUAGGUGGCUAAACAAAGGGAGUUUUUUCCUAUAAUUUGGGAUGCUCGCUGCAAACUUUGAUAGGGAACAAAAAUAUAAAUCUGCCGACAUAUACAACACACAUGAUAAGAUACUACAUACGUAUAAAAGAAAAUUAAUAUAAAACUAUAAAGGUGAGAUAAUGAAAUGAGAUAUUUCCAACCUCAUUAGACAUUUGAAUUAAUUAUAGUAACAGCCGAGGAUGAUGUACUUGGCUUAUCAACAGAGCUCUCACAACCAUGGACUUCCAUCGAUGUCUCAAGAGGAAGUUGAUGGAAUGGCUUAGGAGGUAUCUCACAGAGUUCAAUAUCUCCUUCAAGCAUCUUUAGUACUUUGCUCAUUGAAGGACGAUCAAUAGGUAAUAAUUGUAUGCACCAAAAGGCUGUUAUUAUCAUCUUUCUCACCAUUACUUUUUCAUCAUCAGAAACAUCUCCCAGCUCCAUGUCCUCUCCUUGAUCCAAUCGGUCAUAAAUCCAUGAUGGAAAAUAUAUUUGACUAGUGUGGUCAGCAAAUGCAUUCACAUUCUUUCUCCUUCCAACUAUUUCCAUCAAUAACAUUCCAAAACUAUAAACAUCGGCUUUGUAUGAGAUGCCUCCAAGAUUUUUGUAAACCAAUUCAGGAGCAAUAUAUCCUAUUGUUCCUCGUGCUGCAGUGAGAGAGACAAUGCUAUCUUCUACUGAAUACAAUUUAGCAAGGCCAAAAUCGGAAACUUUUGGAUUAAAAUUCUCAUCCAGAAGAAUGUUGUGCGGCUUGAUAUCAAAAUGUAGAAUUUGCAUGUCACAUCCUUGAUGCAAGUAGUGAAUUCCUUGAGCCACACCAAGCACAAUAUCAAACAAUUUUUUCCAACCCAAAGUGUUCUUAUUUUCUUCUGUAAAUAUGAUUUUAUCUAAAGAUCCAUUAGGCAUGAAAUCAUAUACCAAAGCUUGCUUUGAUCUCCCUACGCAAAAUCCAAUAAGUUUAGCCACAUUAGCAUGAUGAAUUCUCCCGAUAGAAGCAACUUCAUUUAUAAAAUCUUGGCCGUUCCCCUUUGACUUAUCUAACAGUUUUAUAGCCACAUGAUGUCCACUACGAAGCUUUCCCUUAAACACCGAACCAUAGCCCCCUUCACCUAGUUUAUUUUUAAAAUUUUUAGUCAUUUUUUUAAUUUCUUUGAAAGAAUAUCUAAUUGGUGCUAGAUUGUGGCUUUGAAGAAACUCUUCAAUCUUAUCAUCCAUGGAUAAAUGUCUUCUUCUCCAUUUGUAGAUAACAAGGCCAGACAAACAAAGUAUCCCAGUCAAAACCCUCAAUAUGAUGACCCCAACUUCAAAAACAAGAAAGUAUUGUAGAACAUUAGUACUUUGUGAGGUCAAAAACGAAUUAUCUACAUUCUCAAAAUGUCUAUACACGUGACAAUCGCGUGCUCCCUUAAAAGAUAAAAUUAAGAUAGAUUUAAAUUUUUUAAAAAGUGGUUUGUAGUUUUUAUAACUUAAAAUCAAAUUAUUAAUAUAAAGAAUCUUUCAUUUUUUUCUCAAAUUAAAUGUGGAUAUAUAUAUAGUUUUUUUUCCCCUAUUUCUCAAUGUCUUGGAUAUAUAUAAAAUUGAGGCCAUAAGUAUACCUGUUACAACAAAACAAGUAUGAUCGGUAUCUGUGGAAACACAAAAACAAAAAGAUACAUCAAUAUUACCAGAGAGUAAAAAGUUCAAAGAUCAGUAAAAAACAAAUAAAACCUGCAAAUCACACCAUCUCAUCAGCCGACCCAAAAAAAAAAAAACCAUACCAUGAUAGUAAUAAAUUACAGCUGAAAUGCACCCAAAAUAGACACUGAUGUGAUAUGACACCGCGCACAAUCUGCAGUAUUCAGCACACCUAAAUAAGCCAAGCUAUUGUAGAUGGGACCAAUGAGUUAAACAUAAGAGUAAAUUUUAUGCAACACUGUAUUAACAUUUCUUUUUAAUGUAUUUUAUAUUAAAAUUACAAUAUAUAUAAAGUUACAAAUUUUAUUGUGAAAAAAAAAAGUAAAAGGGAUCAAAUUAGCUUAUUAUAAAAGUAGAUUAUGUUAUAUGUACCCAAAAGAAAUUUUGGCAGAUUGUCUUCUAAGAUUAUACAAAAAUUAUUAACAACUGAGUAUUAAUAACAUAUCAAAUAUUACAACAGUUAAUUUACGUAUUUUUAUAGUAAGAAGUAUGCAACAUCUAUUGCAUACAAAUUUUUUGUGUUUCGAAAAUAAAAGAUAUUAUCUAAACUAAAAAUUGUAAAAGAAAGAAAUGUUUGUUUAUAAUUUAAAAAAUUAAUUAUUUUAAGUAAUUUAAAUAAAGCUAAAUUAAGUUGGAGAAGAUAGUAAAUAUAAUUGAAUGUAUAAUAAUACUUUGUUAUUUUUAAAAUUUGUUGAUGUGACAUUAUUUUACUGGUGCAUAAAACUAUACUUUUUAGAAUUGUACUAAUAUUUAAAGAAGGUAUAAUUACCAAAUAAGUUAAUAGAAUAAAAGAAGACAAAACAGCAGAGGCAGUUGCAUUCAAUUUAAAGAAAAAUGUUUUUUUAAUAAAAAUUUAAAUUUACAAAUUUAAUAAAAUUAUAUAUUUAAUUUUUAUUAAUAUAUAUAGUGAAACAGGCCAUUAAAUUUCUAUUAAUAAAAGUUGUUGCCGUAAUUAUAGUAAUUACUACUAAAAAGCUAUGAAGGUAUUUUUUUCUAUGAUUGGGAAGUGCACAGAUUUUACGAACAAAAACAUCAUCUUUAAUUAGCUAAUAAAAUUUAAUUGCGAAAAAGAACAUAAAAGAAAUAGGUAGGUCAUACAAAAAGCAGAGGCAGAUACUAAAUUAGAAAUGCUAUUAGGUUUUUUUUUUUUUUUCAUUUGAUUGUUAUGUCUUAAUAAAUUAUAGGUAAAAAAAACAUGAGAAUUAGCAUGAUGAGAUUUAAUUGUGAAAAAAUAAUAACAUGAAAUAAAAGAAAAAUAAGUAAGUCAUACAAAAAGCAAAGGCAAAUGUUUUAACUAAAAAUAUCAGUUUGAUGAUGUAAAGAGCGAUGCACACUCAGAAUAUAAUUGAAAUCGUUGAAGAAACCUACACUUCUGUAAACCAAUUUUUGUUUUCAUUGCACUGGUAGUCAUGCCAGUAUCUAAUUGUCCAAAAAGAAGACAAAACAGCAGAGAAAGCAGAGGCAGAUACUAAAUUAGAAAUGCUUUUAGUUCAUUUGAUUGUUAGAUGUUGAUCAAUUUUAGAUGCAAAAUCAUCAUACUUAAUUACCAUCAUAAUAUUUAAUUGUGAUAAAUGUAACAUAAAAUAAAACAAAACAAAAAGUAGAUGUUGUAACUAAAAAUUCCAGUAUGAUUCACACUCAAAAUGCAAACUUAAAUUAUUAAAGAAACUUACAUAUCUUUAAACCAAACUUUGUUUUUAUUGUAGUAGCUACUCUCGCUAUCCCAUCCACUCCAUACGACCCAAAAACCCUCUGAUAGUUUUUUGUAGAUAUCCAGCGUAGACAUGCCUGUUAUACUAUUAACCAUAAUUGGAACCUCCGCUUCGAUAGUGCAAGCUUGAUUGAUAUCAGAUGGGUGGGUGUUUCCAUUUAAAAAAUAGAAAUGGGAAGUUGGAAGGGAAGAGGAGGUAUUGGAUUUGAUGGUACAACGAGAAGCCUCAAUAUAAAGUGAUGAUUUUAUAGGUUUCGUGCAAUUCAUAACAUAAAUAAUGCUACUCUCUAACCUUCCAUAAUCAUUAUGAUAAUAAUAAUGAUAAUUAUAAUAAUAAUAAUGAUAAUAAGUAUUAUAAGAAAAAUAAUCUACAGAAGUAAGAGGAAGGGAGUUGCAAUCAUCCGUGUCCAAGCUCGCAUCCACCAUUUGUAUUGUAUAAUUUUCGUAAAAGAUUUGUUGGACAGAUAAUUUCCCUCCUCUCCCAACCAAAGUGGUGCGAUUGUUAUUCUCACACUCAAGUUCAAAGCCAUAAGGACUACAGUGGAGAGGUUGGUUUUUUAAUCGGAAUGGAAAACUGAUAUUCAAAUUCCCACAGAAAGUAGAGCCGCAGUCAAGAUGCCUAGCAAAACAAACAGCAGGAAAUAGAAUUACAAAUAAAGCAAAAGCGGGCAUUAGGUGACCCAACAAUGGCAGUUUUGCUUUUAAUUUUGGCAUGCUAAAAUUUUGGGUAAGGAAGAAGAACAAUAAUGGGGGUUAAUGAUUAAGUUUCUAACUAAAUCAGGGAAAUAUAUAAGAAAACUUCAGUGGGAGAAGAAGCAUUAAUGGGGACACAAGACUUUGACUACUCUUCAGCUUUAUUUGGGAUGAAUAUUUUAUUUUCAAUAAAUUGUUUACACCUUUUAUUCUUUUAUCUUUUUUCUGGGAAACACCUCAAUCAAAUCACAUCUAAUUCCAAGAACAGUGCCAUGCAAGCAAAAGAAAAAGAAAUUUUAAUAUUAUUGAAAAAAUUUUAAAUAAAUUUGGACCAUAUGCUUGUAGAUCAACCUUUAUCACCUUAAUAAACUCCAAUUACAAUGAGGAGGACCAAGAGAACGCAAGUCUUUAGUCUUUUUUGAAGCACAAAAACAUUUAAGUGGCUGGGAACAACCUUUUGUGUUAUGUAAGACAACUAUUUGUUGCAUCUUUCUAAAAAGUAAGUUCAUAGUUAGAAGUGUCAAGCAAGGCGGCUCAAUGCCCAAUUGUAUAGAUUCUUUUUAUUUUAUUCCACGAAUACUUAACUACUUUUCAAAUAAUUACUUGAAUUUAAAAUAAAACAAAUUAAAUAUAAGAUAUAAUUUCUAUUUAUUUAAGUUUAAAUUCAAAACUAAAUUCUAUUUCUAAAUUUUAAUUAUCUAAAACAAUCGACUUAAAUUAAUUUAAAAACUUAAAUUUGAAAAUACAUGAAGAGACUUCAAAUUCCGUUUUAUUUUAAAUGAAAUCAGUUUAGCAUAGAGGUGUCUAUGGAUCAGGUCAAGUCGAACCGAAGUUCAGCUUCAAACAAUUUCUAAGUCCUAGCCUGUUUUUGAUCCAACUCACCCAAAAGCUCGAUUUUUAUUCGAAAAUAUUAAAAAUGUUUUUAAUUGAUAUUUUACAUAUUUUUAUAAUUAAAUUUAAAUUUAAAUUUAAAUUUUUUAUUAUUAUUUAAAUUAAACUAUAAAAAUAUUUAUCCAAACCUGAACUAAAUCGAGUUAGGCCGGGUGGGCGAUCCGGUCAACACAGGAAAGGAAAAAAAGGAAAGACGAAUCCUAAACAGGCAGUGUGCAGCCCACUAAAUUUAUUUUAAUUCUACAUGCAUUCCAUAUUAUUAUUUAGGAAUAAUAUAAUUUUUGACCCCUAAUCUUAAUAGUUAGGUGCACUUUAGUACAUAUAUCCUUUUUGCUCUACUUUGACACUUGAACUUCACAACUAAAUAUAUUUUGGUUCCUAAACUUAAAAAAUAUGAAAGUUUUAUGAUGCAACUCUCGGAGAUUGUGUUACAUCAUCACUUAAAAAUUAAAAAUAUAUAUUUUUAGAGAAUGGCGUGGUACAAUCUCUAAGUGUCACAUUCAUUAUUUUAAUAAUCAAAUUGAUAAUUGAACCAGUCAGACCACUACUACUCGAUUCAACUAGUUUGAUCAGUUCGACUGUCGGACCAAUAAUAAUUAAAUAAAUCAUUAAACAUUCAUAAAGUUCGAAAAAAAUAGAAAACAAGAUUUAUUAAACAGAUUAAACAUCGUCAACAGCUGGGGUUUUUCUUAGUUUUUUUUUACCAAUUUCAAGUUUUUUUUUAUUUAAUUGAUUCAACCUCUUUGUUCAAACCAUUAUACUGAUCGACUCUCAAUCCCAUCAGUCUAACCAUCCAAUCCACUCCUAUACUAGUAACACUGAUCACAUUAUCAAAUCUUAAUAGAAUUCAAGUUUAAGAGACCAUAAUAGACUUGGUUGCCAAGUCUAGAUGCCACAGUGGACCAAAAGAUUUACAAGUACCAAAGUAAACCUAAUUGUCAAGUUCAGGGCCAAAAUUUAUAUUAUCCUUUAUUUUUAUUAGUUUCACUACAAAAAUUAUAAGAGUUUUACAAAUUGCACAAAAAGAAAACCUGAAAAACAGAAUAGGUGCUUGAGGUAGAGUUUAUAUAUAAUUGGUAAAAAUACCAAGGAAGCUCCUGUACCUAGUGGUAAAUUGUAUUUCGGUUCAUCUACUGAAAAAUGGAAAAUUUAGUUUUUAUACAUUUUGAAAUGUGAAAAUUCUAUUAAAUGAUGACUUGGACAAGUGGAAAAUUAUUAUUUACUAGUAAACUAUAAAAAUGGUCACUCAACUAUUAAUUUUUUCGAUUUAGUCGCUAAACUUUUCAAAAUUAAAUAUUUUAAUUACCUUGAGCUUAUGUGGUUUUUUUUAUUAGUCUAGUAACAAAAUUAUCCCACUAAUAUUUACAUAUUUUAUCAAUUUGGUCUUAAACAUAAAAAAAUUAAUAAAUUUGGCCCUCCAUAUUUACAAAAUUGACCAAUUUAAUCCUAACUAUAAGAUUUUCUUAAAUAUUUCUUAAAAAAAAUAUUUUUAGCCAUUUAUAACACAUCCCAUGUGAGAUAUUAAAAUAAGAAAAAAAAUUAUCCUCUUUUAAAUCACUUGUAAAAAAAUUCGAAAAAUUCAGGAUAAAACACCAAAAAAUUUAAGAUCCAAAAGAAAACAAAUGCAUUAAAAACGUUAUUUGUACAGGUAGUACUAUAGCCAUUUAGUCUAAAUAGGUUCAAAAUCAAUUGGUUUGGUCCAAUGUGAAGUAUAAAUUAUAGUAAAAGAAAUUGUUACAAGUGACAUGAAAGAGGAUGCUAUUUUUCUUAUUUUAAUAUCUGACAUGGAUUAUCCCGGUGAAUUAUAAAAGACUAAUAAUGAUUUUUUAAAAUAUAUACAUUUAAUUUUUAAAUAUAUAUAAUAAAUUUUCUAACUGCAAAUAUAUAUAUAAAAAGUCAACAACAUUAAAAAUACCAAAUUAAGGGAAAACUUUGCAAUUUUAUGAAGGUUGAGGUGUAGCAUGCUAUGUUCCUAGCAUUUAAAACAAGUACUUGAACUUCAUACCAUGGUAUGUUCCUUAUGAUAUUGCAAACACCGUCUUAAUUAUAUUUAUGGCAUUUGUGGUAUAAUAUGAUACCAGGGAAGAAAGUUAGGUAAGAAAUUAAAAUUUUAUAUAAAAAUUAAAUAAUACUUUAAUUGAAAUGGUAAUAUUAAAAUUUUGAUAUGUAUAUGUUUCCGGUUCAAAUUUUAUCAUAGUAUUAUUUUAUUAAAAAGAUAUGAAAAAAUAAGAACACUCUCAUAUUUAAUAUUUCUUACUUUGUAUAUGAAAUGAUAUUUUAGUAAUAUCUCAAUUGAUUUCAUGACUAAUUGACUCAUGAUACGAACUCAACCAAAAAUUUAAUUUAAGUAUAGAUUUAACAAGUACUUAAUAGUAAUAUCCCUAACUAUGUAACUUGAAACCCAAUAAAUCAAACCUAGACCUACCCAUGGGUCGGGGCCACUAAGCCUAGUCGAAGCCCUACCUGAAAAAUGGGUUUGGGAAAAAAUAAUGCAUGUUUAGAAAACAAGUCGAGCCUUAAGUAAGACUUUUUUGUUUAGGCUCAGCCCAAAUUUGUAAAAAAAAAUUGUUGUUUUCUCACUGCCUUACUGUCAUUUCACUAUUAUGUUGCUACUAUUUUAUUAUUAUUGUUUGGAUAUUAUAUAAUUCUUAUUUUAUUGUUAAUUUUGCUACUAUUUUAGAGUCAUUUUCUUGUCAAGUUGCACAUAUUUUAGUGUUUUUUAAGUACAAAUAUUUUUAAUUUAUUUUCAAUUUGUUGAAAAACAUUUGUUUUAAUGUUUUUAGUGUUCUUGAUUAAUUAUAUAUUUUUAAAUGAUAUAAAAAAAUUUAAUACGGGUGAGCCGGUCUUGACUUGGGUUUUAUCAUUUUUAUUUAGGUUAGCUUGAACAAAAUUUUAGGCUCAUUUUUUAGGUCAAGCCGAACCCGAACCUAUCAAAUAGGUCUAAAAUUUUGUCAAAACCCAACUUGACUCAUGGACAGAUCUAAUCAAACAUACGUAAUUUCCAUUUCUUUAAAAAAAUCUUUCAUUAAAAAUUUUAAUUUUACUAAAUUCAAUUUAAAAAAAACAAGUUUAAUUUAAUCUCAUUCAUCAUUUCCUUUAUAGAAUAAUACUUAAUAUACUAUUAGAAUAUGAGUCUCAGACACUAUAAAUGAAUAGUAAUAAUAAAAUAGAUUAUUAUUGGGUAAAAAUAAUAAUGAAAAAUUUAUAAAUAAAUAUUAAAAAUCUUGUUAAUAUUAAAUAAGAAAAAUAAUAUAACAAUUAUACUACAUUUGAUUGGAGUAUUAUUUUCUUUCACAUGUUUUAGUCAUCUGUUAGAUAUAAAUUAAUCACAAUUGGUAAUUUUUAAGGGUAAUUAUACCAACAGUCAUUCAAAUUUGAUACAGCUGACAAAACAGUAACUUAGGUUUUAAUUCAGUCACUCAACUUUCAAAAAAUGACAAAACUGUCCUUUUAACCAUUUUUAUUAUAGACAUAACAGAAAAGUGACAUGGCAGUUGACGGCUUCCUUGUUGUCAUUAACCAACCAGUUGGACACUAAGCAACAAUUUAAACAACCCCUUUUAGCAUCACUUUAGGGUUUAGGCAAUAGAAGAAGAAGAAGAAGAAGAGGAAGAAAAAAUAGAAAGUUGCACCAAUUUGGGGACCUAAGUAAUACCAGAAAUCCAUUAGAAUUUCUGGAUUUGGCAUCAUGAUGACUGAAGCUCCUCAAAGUUGCAAAGUUCCUUUGCCUUCCUUGACUAGGAAAGUCCCUUUCCAGUAGCCGCUUUAUUUCAAGCUUGGAUUUUGCUUCGCCUAUAUCAAUAGAUGCAAACUUGAGCAGAGUGGAGAUAAAAAUUUGGGUUUGUGGGCAUUGUAUUAAGACCUUGGUUGACUCCAACUCAGUUUAAAUAGGAAAGACACCACGGUAGGGAUCGAGAAUUCGACAGCUUAAGGUUGUAGUCAAUGCAACAAGCAUUUGAAUGCUUAUCAAGGGUCUAAGUAACCUCUUCAUGAGAACAGUCACAUUGGAGGGAUGAUAAAUAAAGUUUGCUAAGUAUGGCCAAAAUAAGAAAAAAAAGUACAGAUCUUGGAUAAAUUUGUAUCAGAUUUAGACCUAUCUUCAGGUUUAGUAGACCUAUAUUCAGAUUUAGACCUAUCUUCAGGAUUAGGACCUUGGUUGACUCCAACUCAGUUGAAAUAGUAAAGACAUCGUGGUGGGGAUCGACAAUCCGACAGCUUAAGGUUACAGUCAAUGCAACAAGCAUUAAGAAGGAAAAAAGUACAGAUCUUGAAUAAAUUUGUAUCAGAUUUAGACCUAUCUUCAGGUUUAGUAGAUUUUGACAUCCCAAAUAGAGAAAGGCGUUUAAUCACAAAAAAGAUGUUAUCUCAGUAUUGGAUUUUACAGGAAAUGAAGAAAAAAUAUCAGAUCUUCCUCAUGAAAUGAGAAAUAAUUUCUUAUUUUUGAAUAAAACCUAGAAAGAUGAAAAGAUGAAAUCUUGAAGUGAGAAAUCUCGCAACAAAGUGAAAUGAAAAUUGCAGAUGAAAAAUACCAAUCAAUUUCUAACCCUUAACCCUGUUAAUCGAUUUUUAAUUUGAUUUUUUAAUCCUUAACCAACCUUGAACCCUGAAAUUGAUUUCUAACCCAACACUCUGGUUUGUUAACUAUUGUUUCUAAUCCACAAUAGCAACAACUAAAGGAAGAAGAAAAAGUAUAUCGGGGAAAAAAACGUUAACGGUUUUACAGUCUCUUCUUCUUCUUCUUCUUCUUCUUCUUCUUCUUCUGUUAUUAGGGUUUUUUUCUAUUUCUUCUUAAAUUGGGAAGGUUUCCACGUGGACAUAUCCAACGUGGGUAGUUCGUUGGCCAUGUUAGCUAGUUAACUGGUCACAUCACUUGUCUCCUUAGGUCUGUAACGGAAAAUAUUAGUAGGUGACUGAUUUGUCACUUUUUGGUAACGUUAGUGACCAGUUUGUCAAUUUUUAAAGUUGAGUGACUGAAUUUAAACCUAAGUGACUGUUUUGUCAACUGCAUCGAAGUUGGAUGAUUGUUGGUGUAAUUUACCCAAUUUUUAACCACUCUAUGACUUGUUUAUGAUAAAAAAGAGCAAAAUUUUUUGCUUAUUUUGAAGGGAUCUUAUUUUUUAAGUUUUUACUCUCUUUUUUAAUUCCUAUAUAAUUUGUACUAAUUAUUUUAAAACAUGUGUUAAAUAAUUUUUUUGUGAAAAUAGAAUGUUGGUAAUGACAAUAAAUCACAAAGAAAAGAGAAAUAAAAAUAAAGAACACAUAGAUUUUUACGUAGAAACCCUUUCGGGAAAAAACCACGAGCAGAGGAGAAGAAAGUUUAUUAUGUCGAAUUUGAAUGAUUUACAAGAGGAGUUUCGACUACAUCUAUUUAUAGGUUGAAAAAAAACUAAUUCUAAUCAAAGUCAAAUAUAUUAUGCUAAUAAAUGCUAAAUAUAUUAUGCUAAUAAAUGCUAAAUAUAUUAUACUCAUAAAUACUAAAUUUUCUAAAAAGAAGAUAUAUUUUGUUUAACUCGACUUGCAAGCAAUCUCUUAGAAUUUGGGUCACACAACUCUAGUAAUCUCCACCUUGACACGAAUUCUCAAUGAACAAUUUCUUCAUCGAGAACUCUCAACAAACAAGUUUUUCACCUCUUCUAUAAAACCCCUUAAAGGUUUAACUUCAACAAAGAACACUAAUCAAGUCUAAGCAAUGCUCAAACUUGGUUAUAGGAAGUGACUUAGUCAUCAUAUCUACAGGAUUUUCAUGAGUACUAAUUUUGCUCACAACAAUAUCAUCACGAGCAAUAAUAUCACGAACAAAAUGAUACCGAACAUCCAUGUGUUUUGUUCUCUCAUGGAGCAUUUGAUCUUUUGUAAGGAAGAUGGCACUCUGACUGUCACAAAAUACUAUAUUGAUUUGAAGGUCUUCAUUGAGAUCACUAAAGAGUCUCUUCAGUGGUUGAUAAAGUAACUGUAGUUUGCAAAGUGGCUUUCCAAUUGAUUGCACAACCUCCAAUUAUAAAGACAUAACCUAUGAGAGAUAUUCUUCUAUCAAGGUCUCCAGCAAAAUCAGCAUCAACAUACCCAAUGACUCCAUCUCUAGUUCUUCCAAACUGUUAGGAAACAUCAGCAAUACCUCGUAAGUAUCUUAAAAUCUACUAAACUGUUUUCCAAUAUUUUUUACCGAGAUUCACCAUGUAUCUGCUAACUGCACUAACUGCAUAUGAUAAAUAUGGACAUGAACAAACCAUAACAUACAUAAGAGAUCCUACUGUACUAGAGUAUGGAACAUGUGACAUGUACUCAAUCUCAUCAUCUGAUUGUGAAGACAAAGCUGAUGAAAGUCUGAAAUGGGCUGUUAAAAGAGUACUAGCAGGCUUAGCAUUCUGCAUAUUGAAUCUGGUAAGAACUUUCUCAAUCUACCCCUUUUGACUUAGGUACAAUUUACUUGCUUUUCUAUCUCUGAGAAUCUCCAUAUCAAGUAUCUUCUUUGUUGGUCCCAAAUUUUUCAUUUUAAACUCUUCACUUAGUUAGGCUUUGACCUUUCUUAUCUCUCCUUUAUCUUUUGUUGCUAUCAACAUGUCAUCAACAUAAAUGAGUAGAUACACAAAAGAACCAUCACUGUUUUUCUUAAAGUAAACACAACUGUCAAAGCUACUUUUUUUAAAAUCAUGAGAAGUUAUAAAGGAACCAAACCUUUUGUAACACUGUUUUGCUAACUGUUUCAAACUGUAAAGGGAUUUUUUUAGCAAGCAAACAUAGUCCUCUUUUUCUGAGACUGUAAAACCCUCUGGUUGUUACAUGUAAAUAUCCUCCUCAAGUUCUCCAUGCAAAAAUACAGUUUUUACAUCUAACUAUUCAAGCUCUAAAUCAUGUAUAGCCACAAUGCCAAGCAAAGCUCGAAUCGAACUAUGUUUCACAAUUGGGGAGAACACAUCUGUGAAGUCCACUCCUAAAAUUUGACUGUAACCCUUUGCAACAAGUUUUGUUUUGUAUCUAGGUUCUUCAACUCCUGGAGUCCCUUCUUUCUCUUUAAACACCCAUUUACAAUGAACAACUUUUUUACCGUUAGGAAGUUUCACAAGAUCGUAUGUUUUGUUUUUGUGGAGUGAUUUCAUCUCCUCUUGCAUAGCAAACAUCCACUUUUUUUAGUCUUCAUAGCUAAACGCAUCAGAAUAAUUAGAUGGCUCUUGAUUUGCAUCUAUAUCUUCAGCCACAUUUAAAGCAUAAGCAACUAGAUCAGUCUUAGCAUACUUCUUUGGAGGUUUAAUUUCUCUUCUAGUUCUGUUUUUAGCGAUAGAGUAUUAUGGUGAAGAAGCAGCUCUAUUUUAAAUUUUUUUGUACUGGCUUGAGGAGUAGACUCUGUUGUAGAUUCUAGAUUAAUCUAAUGCUCUACCUGCUUUUGAUUUUCUUUAUUUGAAGAGUCUUUAAGAGAUAAGUUAGGUCACAUGUAACAACCCGGUUUGACUCUAAUCGGAAUAGUAGUUUUGGGACCACAAAUCUGAGUCCUAAAAAUAUUUCAAUAUUAUUUUGUGUGUUUACUUUGUGUGCAUUUGAUUGUGUGAAAUUUUCGUGUUUUAGUUUUGUUGUUUGAGUGUCCGAUUAAAAAAAAGGAUUAAAUCGCGAAAAAUAAAAAUUUAGGGGUUAAUUAUAAAAGCACCUAAUUGUUGUUGUCUUUUUAAAUGGAAGGAUUUAUGAUGCAAUAAGACCAUAAAGUAGUGAGUGGGUGAUAAUGGUCAAAAAUGACCUUAUAUUAUAAGGUUUAUAUAAUUUGUAUUAAAGGUUAAUAUAGUAAACUAAUAAUUAAAUAAACAUAUGAUAUAAUAAAUCAAUUGAAGCCAUUAUUUUCAUUCUUCCUUUGCUGAAAGUUAGAAAAACAAAUAGGGUUUAAAAGCUUUGAGGUAUCCGGUCAUUAACAAGCUUAAUUCAAGGUAUGUUUUACUUCGGUUUUUGAUAAUUUUUACGUUUUUGAGAUCGUUGCUUCGUGUUCUUCAAAACCCAUAUCUUAAUUUUGUGAAUUGUGGAUGAUUUUGAAAUGUGCCAUUGAUGAAUGCUUGAGUUUUAUGAUGUUAGUAGGUGAAAUAUGAAAUAUAUUUGUUAGAUUAAUAUAUUUUGUAUUGGAAUUUUUAGUGAAAUUGAGUAAAUAGGGCUAAAUUGUGAAAUUAAAUUUUUGGGGAACUAAAGUGUGAAAUAAAUGCAAUGUGUGGACUUGUAUGAGAACCAUGAAUAUUCGGCCCUUGUGUGGUAUGGGCAAAUUUUGUAUAAAUUGUGUUUUAUGCAAUAGGGACUAAAUUGCAAAAAGUGUAAAUAUUAGGGGCAAAAUAGUAAUUUUCCAAAUUAUUUGUUUUUGGAUUAAAUUGAAUGUGUUAAUAAAUAAAUUAUCUUAUUUUGAAUAUAUUUAGAUCGAGAACCAAAGAAAUCGGAGUUAGAUCGGCGAAAAGCCAAAUUAGUCGAAUAAUCGUCCGACUUCGAUUUUCCAUCGUCCGAGGUAAGUCUAUUAGCUAUUUAAUGUUAUUAAAUCAAUAUAUAUAUGUAUGAAUAUCUAUUAUGUUGUUGUUGAGCUAUAAUUAAAAGUAAUUUAAUUGAAUAAAUUCAAAUUAUAAAUGGUAUAAAUAUGUAUAUACAAUGUUCAAAUAUAUAGGUAUAUGCUUAUAUAAAUUUUUGAACUAAGUUAAAGUAUGAAUGGUAUAAAGUUAUAUAUAUAUAAAUUCAAAUAAUUAUAUAUGUAUCUAUAUGUAUACAUAUACUUGAAUUUGGUUGGUUGUAUGAGAGUUAUAUAUAUGUGCACUUAAGAUUCAAAUAUAUGUAAGUAAAAACAUGUAAUUCUUGCUUAAAUUAAAGAUAUGUAUAAUACAUAUGUAUACAUAAGUUUCGAACAUAUAGAUGUAUGUAAAAACAUUUGGGUUUGAUUAAAAGUAUGUAUGUUGUAAUUGUACAGAUAAUUUCGAAUAAGUAAGUAUAUGGAGUUGGAACAUCUAUAUAUAUAUGAAUAAGUCUUGAUUAUAUUUUAAGGUAUAAAUGUUAAAAACGUACGUGGGAGUUCGAAUAUAUCUAAAUGUAUAUUUGUGUACAGAUUCUUGAAUUGAAUCGAAUGUAUGAUUCGCAAACUCUUUUGUGAUUGAAUAUGGACUACAAUGAAUGUGUGUUUGCUGUUAAUAAGUAUUUGAGGAAAUUAUUCUGUAUAUGGGAAAAAUUGAGAUUUUCAAGCAUAGCGCUUAGCAGGCUUAUUGCCGGUGAAACACUUCAGACUAUAUGUCUAGCAGGCUUAAUGCCGGUGAAAUAUUUCAGACUAUAUGUCUAGCGGGCUAAGUGCCGGUGUACUGAAUCAGGCUUAAAGCCUAGCAGGCUAAAUGCCGGUGAAUCUGUUUUAAGUAUGUGAUUAGGUGUACAAUUAUAUGAUUUUGGAUAUAUUUAAUUGAUAAGUAUAUUUAUAUAUAUACAUUUGGCUAAGUGCGUUUGAUGAUUAUAUAUAUAUCCGGCUUAUACAAUUGAGAAAUAUAUAUAUGCUCUGGGAUUAUGCAUUUGAUAAAUAUAUACUUUUAAAUAUUCGGUACACAUAUUUGAUUAGUAACUAUAUAUGCAUUCGAGAUAUAUAUAUACCUUGGUUUAUAAGUAUUUGAUGAAAAUGAAUGCAUUCGUUCAUAUGUAUUAGAUUUGUAUUGGUUUAAAGUUUAAAAUGAGUAUUCAUACACAUUCGGUUAUGAUAUGUGUAUAAUAUAUAUAUGCUCGGUUGUAUACAUUCGUUGUAAUGUUGUUUGGUAUAAAAAUAUAUAUUCAAUUGAUCGCUUUCGACAGGUAUGCAUAUCUGUCUAUAAAUGAAAUGGUCUGAGUACAAUAAUAUAUAAAUAUUAGUUAUUCGUGUUAAUUGAAAUCUCAGUGAAAUAGAUUAAAAAGUAACUUUAUUUAUAUAUUUAUAUACAUUUAGUUAUGCUGUAGACUUACUAAGCUAUAAAAGCUUACUUUGUUUGUUUUCGUCCAUUUGCUUUUAUAGAUUUUGGAGACGCGUUACGAGCUCGGGGAUCAUCAACAUAGUCCAUCACACUAUCGACUUCUUUUGGUAUUUUGUUAAAUAUUUGAACUCAAUCUUAUGGCAUGUAUAGGUUUGAGUAUGAUGUUAAUUACAUUUUGAUUGUAAAUUAUAAUAGUUAUGCGAAAGUAAUUAAAUUUUUACGUUGUGAUCAGUUUGGUUUUAACAUUGUUGAAUUUGUUCGGUAAUGCCUUGUAACCCUAAUUCGGCGACGGAUACGGGUUAGGGGUGUUACAUCACAUAACAGUUUCAUAAAAAACAACAUCUCUACUAAUCACAACAUUUCUAUUUUUAGGACACCAUAACUUAUACCCUUUUACACCAGCUUUAUAACCAAGAAAAACAUAUUUAAUGGAUCUCAAUUCCAAUUUUCCAUUAUCAACAUGAGCAUACGCAGGACACCCAAAGAUCUUUAAAUCAGAAUAGUCAGCAGGAUUACCAAACCAUACCUCUUGUGGAGUCUUUUUCUCAAUGGCAACGGAUGGAGAUUGGUUGAUCAAAAAACAUGCAGUAGAGGCUACUUCGGCCCAAAAUGACUUUGGUAAGUUGGCAUUUGACAACAUACAUCAAACCUUCUCCAUGAUCAUUUUGUUCAUUCGUUCUGCAACGCUAUUUUGCUGUGGAGUAUAACGAACUGUCAGGUGUCUCACAAUCCUUUCUAACUUGCACAAUUUAUUAAACUCAUCAGAGUAGAACUCUAAGCCACUGUUUGUGUGGAGGUAUUUUAUUUGUUUUCCAGUCUAUUUUUCAACCAUAGUUUUCCAAGACUUAAAUGCAAAAAAGACAUCGCUUUUCUGCUUUAAGAAGAACUCCCAAACUUUUCUGGAAAAACCAUAAAUAAAAGUUAGCAUAUUAAUUAGCUCCAUCUCUCGAAGGCACUCUGGAUGGCCCUCACAGAUCAAAAUGAAUAUACUCUAAUGUUUCUUUCGUGUUAUGGAUUCCUCUAGUGAAUUGAAUUCUCUUUUGCUUCCCAAAAACGUAAUUCUCACAGAACUUCAGUUUGUAAAAUCCUUGCCCAAGAAGAAGUCCUCUUUUUCCCAAUUAUGCCAUGUCAUUCUCACUCAUAUGCCCUAGGUAUAUAUGCCAAAGUUUAGUAAUAUCAUCAUCUGACAAGGAAGAGGAUGCGACAACUGUAUCACCAGUAACAAUAAAACUUUGCAAAACAUAUAACUUUGCAGUUUUUCUCUGCCAUUUCAUUACAACGAGGGAACCUUUGGAAAUCUUUAAAAACUCCACUUUCAGUUGUGUAUUUGUACCCUUUUGAAUCAAAUGCACUCAACGAAAUUAACUUUCUCUUCAAUUUUGGAACAUGUCGUACGUCACUAAGUGUCUGACAAGUCCAUCAAACAUCUUAACUUUAAUUGCUCCAACACCUGCAAUUCUACAUGAAGCAUUAUUUCCCAUCAAAACAACACCUUCAAACACUGUUUCGUAAGUUGUAAACCAAUCCUGAUUGGGACUCAUGUAGAAGGUGUAGCCCGAAUCAAAGACUCACUCCUCGCUCACUUUAGAAUUGUAGAUAGAAACGACUAAAAGUUCACCAUCGCUAUAGUCUUCUACAACAUCAAUUUUACCAAAAUUUUCUGGUUGUUUUCCAUUUUGAUUCGCAACCUCCCUUUUGAUAUUGUUUUGUAGCUUAUAGCACUCAGAUUUAAUGUGCCCUUUCUUCUUGCAGAAGUUACAAGAUUUACCUCUGUUUGAAGACUUUGAUCUACCUUUAGAUUUACCGUGAGGAUUCCAUUCUUGUGUCGUUCCAUGAUCAUUAUCAACAUUCCGAUCUUAUCUUCUAUGAACAAUGUAACCCUCUCACUGAGAGUUAGUUUUAACUACAAGAUGCUUCAUCUUAUCAUAUAAGGUUAAAGAAUCAUAAACCUCAUCAAUUGUGAGAGACUCAAGGCUAUAUAAAAUGGCAUCUCUAAAGGUUGAAUAAAACGGGGACAACAAACAAAGUAGAAUCAACUCUAGAUCUUCCUUAUCAUACUGAACCUCCAUGGCUUCCAAGUUUGAGAGAAUUUCUUUAAACAUUGUUAAGUGUUCGUGCACAGACGCACCUUCCUCCAAACGAUGAGCAUAAAAACGCUGCUUCAUAUGCAGCUUGCUAGUUAGAGUUUUUGACAUAAAUAUUUGUUCCGGCCUCUUUCAUAAUCUAGCGGUGGUAUUCUCCUUUAUCACAUCCUGUAAAAUUUCAUUAGACAAGUGCAGAUGUAACUGUGUUAACACGUUUCGAUCCUUGCGGUUCUUCUCUUCCACCGUCAAUGUUGAAGGCAUCUUAUCUAUCCCUAGCAGGGUUUCCUCUAAGUCUAUCUGUGCAAGAACUACCUGCAUCUUUAUCUACCACAACGCGAAUCUGGUUUUGCGAUCCAACAGCGAAAUUUCAUACUUCAAAUACGCCAUUACCGUGAUUGAGAUGAACAAAUCGAAAGCUCUGAUACCAAUUUGUGAAAAUAGAAUGUCGGUAAUGAUAAUAUAUCACAAAGAAAAGAGAAAUAAAAAUAAAGAACACACAGAUUUUUACGUGGAAACCCUUUCGAAAAAAACCACGGGCAGGUGAGAAGAAAAUUCACUAUGUAGAAUUCGAAUGAUUUACAAGAGGAGUUUCGACUAUAUCUAUUUAUAGGUUGAAAAAACCCUAAUUCUAAUCAAAGUCAAAUAUAUUAUGCUAAUAAAUGGUAAAUAUAUUAUACUCAUAAAUAUUAAAUCUUCUAGAAAGAAGAUAUAUUUUGUUUAACUUGACUUGCAAGCAAUCUCUUAGAAUUUGGGUCACAAAAAUAACAUUUUUAACCAUACUGAAAACCAUUUUUUAAUUAAAUAUAAGUACUUAAUAUUUAAUUAAAUUAAAAAGAAAAGAGAUCAAUUCUAAAAUUAUGUAUGGACUUUGAUUUAAUUUGCAAUUGUAUAUAUAAAUUUUAAUUUGGUGUAAUUAUACACGUGUAACUCUAAUUGUGGUUCAAAUAUAUACUUGAAACUUUAAUUUUAAUUUAACCAUAAACAUUUAAAGAAAUAAAAACAUCAAUUUAUUUUUAUAUUGAAUAAAUAUAAUUAUUUAAGUGUGCAAUAUAUAAAUAUAAAAUGAUGUUAUAUCAAUAAUUGUGUUAAUAAUUUAUAAGAAUUGGAUCAUAUCAAAAUUUCAUAUAUAAAAUUAUUAAAAUUUAUAUAUAGAAUUGUACAUUAAACCCAGAGUGCAUGUAUACAUAAUUAAUAGAUUGUACAUAGGAAGUAAGUUUUGCUUAGUGUAAUAUAACUGUCAUUCAAGAUUACGCAUUCAUUUCAGACAAAGCACACACCCUUUGAAAUUCAAGUUUUGAUUCAGAUUCUUUCUUCUUCUUUUUUUAAUAAAAUCUCUAUGAAAGGUUUUUUUUUUUUUUAAUUCCUUAACGGUAGUGAUUUUGGGUUAUGGAGAAAAAAGGAGUGAAAAGUUGUGAUUUUUGUGGAAGUAGGGAUUUUUCUGUUUUAAUAGUUUUAGAAAUGGGUUUGAUGGAGAUUUCAAUAAUGCUUCAUGUUGGAUUAGUUUUGUUGCUACUUUGGAUGCUUUCUCAAUUCAAUCUUUGCCAUCCACUCCCUUAUUUCCUGUCUCUCAUCUACCUCUAUUUGGUUAUUCAUUCAUCUUCUGCUGAGAAUAAAAAAUGAAUCUUUUUUUUCUUUAUUUUUGAACUUGGAUUGAACUUUUUUUUUUAUUGUUUUUGUUACAAAAAUUCCUUUUAUUUCUUUGUUCAUCAAAGGUUCAUGAAAUGUAUGUGACGAGAUUGAGGAAGAAAUUGGAGUUGGAGGAAAUAAUGCACAAAGAAACUAGACAUGUCAACAACAAAACAAUAAUGCCAACACUCUCAAACGCAACAACAAAAAUGUUUUCGAAAAGGAAAUAGGCAUCACACUUAGAGUAUAGAAAUACUUGGAUUGUAACCAUGAAAAACGAAAUAAGAUAUCUGUUGCGGAAAGGAUCGAUUCGAGAACUCCGAUAUGACUACAAGUAAAUUGACCGAAACGAAAAAUAAAGUGAACACAAGGAUUUACGUGGUUCGGCUUUAAUGCCUACGUCCACGGGCAGAGGCGAAAAGAAAUUUCACUAUAACAAGAUGAAGAUUACAAGUGUUUUACACUCAAGACACAACCCGAGAACCUCACAACUCUCAACCCCUAUAGAAAACCCGAAAGCUAAAAUCCUAGCUUUCAAAGAACAAGCUUUGCUCUCUCUUGGUUUGGGAUGAUAAAUAUGGCUAAUGAACCUCUCUAUUUAUAAGAGAGUUCAAGGACAUAAUUGUCCAAAACUUUGGCAAAGAUUUGUGGUUGAAAAUGGACACCAACAACCAUCCACUAAUCCACUACCACCAACAACCCACUACCAACAACAACAAUCCACUACCAAUUUUAAGCCAUUUCUUAACAAAUCUCCACCUUGGCUUGAAAUUUACCAAGCUGAACAUCAUAGUGAAUUCCUCGAACUGGAUCACCUCUUCCAAACGCCUCUCUGGCGCUAAUCAAUCCCGAAUACCUAUCAAGUCCAAGCAAUGCUUGAACUUAUAUGCAGGGAUCACCUUAGUUAACAUAUCUGCAGGAUUCUUCUCGGUAGCAACCUUGCUGAUAACAAUGUCACCUUGCGUAACAUGUUCCCGAACAAAAUGAUAUCUGACAUCAAUGUGUUUGGUCCGUUCAUGAAACAUCUGAUUUUUAGUCAGAUGUAUGGCACUCUGGCUAUCGCAAAAUACAACAGUGAAAUCCUGUUGUAAACCCAAACUGCUUACUAGACCUUUCAUCCACAAUGCUUCUUUCACUGCUUCUGCUAACGCCAUAUAUUCCGCCUCAGUCGUAGAUAAGGCUACGGUAGACUGUAACACAGCUUUCCAACUAAUGGCUCCUCCAGAAUAAGUGAAAACAUAACCCGUCAGAGAUCUUCUUUUGUCCAGAUCUCCAGCAUAAUCAGAGUCCACAUAGCCCGUGACACUGCUAGUGCAGUCACUCUGAUCAUAUACCAAGCAUAAAUCUGCAGAACCUCUCAAGUACCUGAGAAUCCAUUUCACGGCCUGCCAGUGUUCCUUGCCAGGACAACUCAUGUAUCUGCUGACCACACUAACUGCAUGUGAAAUGUCUGGACGAGUGCAAACCAUUGCAUACAUCACGCUUCCAACUGCACUCGAGUAUGGAAUGUGAGACAUUUGCUGCUUUUCUUCAUCAGAUUGUGGUGACAACUCUGCAGAGAGUUUGAAAUGUGGUGCCAACGGAGUACUCACAGUUUUCGCUUUAUCCAUGCCGAAGCGUUGAAGAAUCUUUUCAAUGUAGUUCUUCUGCGACACACGAAGCUUGCCCGCCUUGCGAUCUCUGUGAAUAUCCAUGCCCAAAAUUUUCUUGGCAGCACCCAGAUCCUUCAUCUCGAACUCACCACUCAACUGCGACUUUAACUUGUUGAUUUCCGACAUGUUUUUGGAAGCAAUUAACAUGUCAUCAACAUACAGCAACAAAUAAAUGUGCGAACCAUCUGAGAGCUUCCGAUGAUAGACACAAGCAUCAUAGUCACAUCUUGUGUAACCAUGCUGAAUCAUGAAGCUAUCAAACCGCUUGUACCACUGCCUUGGGGAUUGUUUCAAUCCAUAUAAAGACUUCUUUAAUAGACAGACAUGGUCUUCUUUACCAGGAACUGUAAAACCCUCUGGUUGACGCAUGUAGAUUGUUUCCUCGAGCUCACCAUGCAAGAACGCCGUUUUUACGUCAAGCUGCUCAAGUUCUAGAUCAGACUUGGCCACCAUGGCAAGUAAUACACGAAUGGAAGAAUGCUUUACAACUGGGGAGAAAACUUCAUUGUAGUCAAUCCCCUCUUUCUGAGUGAAGCCUUUAGCAACCAAUCGUGCCUUGAAUCUAGUUGCUUCAACCCCUAGGAUGCCUUCCUUUUUCUUGAAGACCCAUUUGCAACCAACUAUCUUCUGGUUACUUGGCGGCUUAACCAACUCCCAAGUAUGGUUCUUGUGAAGAGAUUCUAUCUCCUCACUCAUAGCAAUUGCCCACUGUGCCGACUCAUCACACGUGACAGCCUCAUUAUAACUGGAAGGUUCUAUACCAAUGGACUCCGCCACACUGAGCGCGAAAGACACCAGAUUAGCGUAACGCGGAUUUGGUUUGAUUUGUCUCUUCGUUCUUCCAGUGGCAAUGCUAUAUGGUUUUUCUUGAGGUGACUCAUCUUCAUCGGAAUCUUGCACCUCAACUUGAUCAUCCUGGACUGAAGUACCUUCCGUAGGAAUUGGAGCGUCCACCUGACACUCCACCUGCUUCUCAACACCGUGAUCUCCCAUUCUAUCUGACUCCUCCUUUUCCCGGGAAUUUGUGGUGGAUCGAAGCAUGGAUGACUCAUCAAAAGUCACAUCUCUGCUGAUGAUGAACUUGGACGAAACCGGAUCAGGACACCACAACCUGUAUCCUUUCACCCCUUGGCCGUAUCCAAGAAAUAUGCAUUUCUUCGCCCUCGGUUUGAGUUUUCCCUCAUUUACAUGAGCAUACGCAGGGCAGCCAAACACUCUUAAACCAGAGUAAUCAGCAGGAGAACCAGACCAUACUUCCUCAGGAGUCUUCAGCUCAAUAGCUGUUGACGGAGAUCUGUUAACCAAAUAACAAGCAGUAUUAACAGCUUCAGCCCAAAAUUCUUCACCGAGCCCAGCAUUUGAUCGCAUGCAACGAGCUCGCUCCAAGAGAGUUCUAUUCAUGCGUUCUGCAACUCCAUUUUGUUGUGGUGUUCGACGAACAGUGCGGUGUCUCACUAUUCCUUCAUUUUUGCAGAACUCAUUGAAUUCACCUGAGCAAAACUCCAAGCCAUUAUCCGUCCGGAAUCGCUUGAUCUUCUUUCCUGUUUGAUUUUCGAUCAAAGCUUUAAAUUGCUUGAAGUUGAUGAGAACCUCAUACUUGCUCUUCAGAAAAUACACCCAAACCUUUCUCGAGUAAUCAUCGAUAAAGGUAAGCAGAUAUCUGUAACCACCUUUAGAAAUUGUCGGAGAAGGCCCCCAAAGGUCAGAAUGGAAGUAAUCCACUGUGCCUUUUGUCUUGUGAAUCCCAGUGCUGAACUUUACCCGAGUCUGCUUACCGAAGACGCAGUGCUCACAGAAAUUCAACUUUCCUGUACACUGCCCAGACAAUAAUCCUCGUUUGCUUAGCACCGAUAAGCCUCUCUCGCUCAUAUGCCCGAGCCGCAUAUGCCAUAACUUCGUGGUGUCAGAAUCUAGAUCAUCUGAUGAUGACACUCCCGCAACACCUGUAACCGAGGAACCAUCGAGGAAGUAAAGGCCCCGCUCCAAAUUACCACGUAUCACAGUCAAAGCACCCGAGAAUACCUUGAGAACUCCACCUUCAGCAGAGUACCGAAAGCCUUUCUUGUCCAACGUACUCAAAGAGAUCAAAUUUUUCUUCAUUUCUGGAAUGUGCCGAACAUCAGUUAGAGUUCUAACAAUACCGUCAAACAUCUUUAUACGAACUGUGCCAAUCCCCAUGACUUGACAUGCGUGGUCAUUUCCCAUUAGUACUGAACCAGAAUGCUUCUCGUAUGUUGAGAAUGCAUCUUUCGAAGUACUUAUAUGAAAUGUAGCUCCCGUAUCAAGAAUCCAUCUCCCACCAGCGUAAGAGUCGGAUACUGCAAGAACGAUCUCGGCAUCACUUGAAGAAUCUGCAUCAGCUACAUUCGCACGAUCAUUUUGUUGCUCCUGUGAUUCUGAUUUCUCCUUCCUUUUCGGACAAUCUACCUUCAUGUGCCCGUACUUCUUACAGUAGUAGCACUGUAUUCUCUUCUUGGACUGCGAUCUAGGAUGGCUUUUACUUGAACUUCCACCCUUUGCCUUGGAUCUUCCUCGAGCAACCAAGCCUUCGCCUUCAUUGUUUUCGACCACCUUACCAGUGAUUUUCUUCCUCAACUCACUGGAACUUAAGGCAUUUUUCACCUCCUCUAGAGUCAGGUCAUCACGACCGUACAUCAUUGUAUCAACAAAAUUCUCAUACGAGGGAGGCAAAGAACACAAAACAAUUAUUGCUUGGUCCUCAUCAUCGAUUUUGUUAUCGAUAUUAUUCAAAUCCAUGAUAAUGGAAUUGAAUUUAUCCAGGUGCUGGGAAACAGGUGUACCUUCCUCCAUCUUCAGGGCAUAGAGUCUUUGCUUGAGGUAGAGCCGGUUCGUCAAUGACUUCGUCAUGUACUUGCUCUCUAACCGGAGCCACAAACCGGACGCGGUUUUCUCAUCCGCUACUUCUCGUAGCACUUCAUCUCCUAGACAUAGCAGAAUAGCACUAUGUGCUCUUUCUAGCAUGUCAUCCUUUUGCUCUUCCGAAAGCGUGCUUGGUAAUUUAUCUUUACCAGACAAUGCUUUUAGCAAUCCUUGUUGAACCAGCACUGCCCGCAUCUUGAUGCGCCAUAAACUGAAACUAUUUUUCCCGGUAAAUUUCUCGACAUCAUACUUUGUCGAUGAAACACUUGUAGCCAUAAUUUGGAACCUUUGAAUGAAUGAUAAUAUUUUCUUCCUGAUGUGAAAGAUCAGACAAAGCUGCAGUCACAGGGCAAUUCAGAAAAUAUUAUCACUCCUUCAACUACGCUCUGAUACCAAUUUGUUGCGGAAAGGAUCGAUUCGAGAACUCCGAUAUGACUACAAGUAAAUUGACCGAAACGAAAAAUAAAGUGAACACAAGGAUUUACGUGGUUCGGCUUUAAUGCCUACGUCCACGGGCAGAGGCGAAAAGAAAUUUCACUAUAACAAGAUGAAGAUUACAAGUGUUUUACACUCAAGACACAACCCGAGAACCUCACAACUCUCAACCCCUAUAGAAAACCCGAAAGCUAAAAUCCUAGCUUUCAAAGAACAAGCUUUGCUCUCUCUUGGUUUGGGAUGAUAAAUAUGGCUAAUGAACCUCUCUAUUUAUAAGAGAGUUCAAGGACAUAAUUGUCCAAAACUUUGGCAAAGAUUUGUGGUUGAAAAUGGACACCAACAACCAUCCACUAAUCCACUACCACCAACAACCCACUACCAACAACAACAAUCCACUACCAAUUUUAAGCCAUUUCUUAACAAUAUCCAACAUCCUCAUCACAAUGGAUUCUCCUCUGAUUCAUUAGUAGCCUCAACAAUGUAAUAACACGAUUAAAAGUUAUCGUAGCAGUAACUCUUAUAAAUAUUAAAAAAUUAAUUUGUAAAUACAUCGAUCAUGUCUAAAUCUAAUCUAAGUCACGGUUGAUCUAAACAUGAAAAUUCUAACCAAUUCAUCUCAAUUCAAUCCAACUAAACCUAAACUAAAUUGACACAAAAAUCUAUUUAUAUAAUUUACUUUUAAUUUAUAUAUAAUUUUAGUUAUGAUUUAAAUUUAUACAUUUAAUAUUGAACAAAUAGUCAAACUAAAGAACAUUGGCAAUUAUGAUCAAUAACUUAACACAUAGGUAAUUAAAGAAAAUACUAAUAUAUAUUUAUAUUUAUAUUUAAGCCAAAAUAAUAUAAAGCUAAAAAGUGAGAUAAUGAAGUAAAAUAUUACUAACCUUAUGCAAUAUUUGAACUCGCUAUAGUAACACUAUCCAAUGGUGUACUUGGCUCAUUAUUAAAGUUCUCACAAUUAUGAACCUCCAGUGAUGUUUCAAGAGGAAGUUGAUGGAAUGGCUUAGGAGGCAUCUCAAAGAGUUCAACAUUAGAUUCAAGUAUCUUCAAGAUUUUACUCAUUGAAGGGCGAUCAGAAGGUAGUAAUUGUAUACACCAAAAAGCAAUUAUUAUCAUCUUCUUCACCAUUACUUUUUCAUCGUUAGAAAUAUCUCCGAACUCCAAGUCUUCUCCUUGAUCCAAUCGGUCAUAAAUCCAAGAUGGAAAAUAUAUUUGACUAGUGUGGUCAGCAAAUGCAUUCACAUUCUUUCCCCUUCUAACUAUUUCCAUCAAUAACAUUCCAAAACUAUAAACAUCGGCUUUGUAUGAGAUGCCUCAAUAUAAAGUGAUGAUUUUAUAAGUUUCGUACAAUUCAUAACAUAAAUAAUGCUAACCUCUAACCUUCCAUCAUAAUAAUUACCAUGAGGAUAAAUAUAAGAAUAAGAAUAAGAAUCUACAGAAGUAAUUAAGAGGAAGAGAGUUGCAAUCAUCCGUGUCCAACAAUCAACCCCUCCCAGAGUAGGCUGUCGAGGAGCCUCCUGCACAUCAUAAAUAGCACGAGUUGUACGCCCCAAAGCAUUUGCCAAGGACCAUCAAGAUGAAGGUCAAUAACAUUUGUGUAAAUUUGGAGUGCUACCUUACAGCCAAGACUAACAGAAUAGUGACUGUUUGGAUUGAAAUGCCAAAUGAGUCAGUUCGGAGUCGGAUACAAGCAAAGUAGCAUUCGAAGCAUCCGUUGCGCAUCAUAGGAGAUAGAAGACCUUGAGUUACAUGAUUUCAUUUUGAGUAUUGAAAAUUGAAAAUAGGAUAAGUACCAACCACUAAUAUAUUAUCAGCAAAAUCUCCCAAUUGAAAGAACAAAAGAUGCAUCUAUACUAUGUUUAAAAGUUUAAUAGAGUUUAUGGUUAUCUAUCAAUGAGGUAUCAACUCAAUUGUAAAAUCAUUAAAAUCUUAUUAUUUUGUUAAAAUAAAAAUAUUAUAUUGAGAGUAUUUUAUUUUUUAUUAAACUUUAUAAAAUUCAUCCAUUUAAUAGAAUUUGAACCCAAAACAUCAUAAUCCUUAUUACCUAAAUUUUACCAUAUUAAACAAAGCCACAUUUAGCUUUUAUAUCAUUUUUUAAAUAAGCUUGUUAUAUCAUUUUUUUUCACCCAUGUGAGGGUGCCAUAAUCUAAUAUAUCUUUAUUUAAUAAGUAAUAAUCCCAUAUGCAUUAGAGAGUAUUAAGUUGAGUUAUUAAAUUUAGGGUUUGUUAUAUUCUAACGACUAAUUUUCAAUUCCAUUGAAAUGAUUUAUAGGUGAUAAAUUUUACAAUUUAAUACGAUUAAUUUUAUUAUAUUACAAUGAAAAACAAAAGAAAAAGAAGAAUUUAAUAUGGUUCAAAGUUUUUAAAUAAAUCUGGACCAUAUACUUGUAGACAAACCUUUACCAUUAAUCUAUUCCAACUUCAAUGAGAACGACCAAGACAAUGCAAGUCUCAAUAGUCCUGUUUGAAACGCAAAAGCAUUCAAGUGGUUGAGAGCAGCAAGCCUGAUCCCUUUUGUCCUUUUGUGUUAUGUAAGUCAAUUGUAGAGAACGAUUGUUGGAUAUUUCUAAAACGUAAGUUAAUAGUUAGAACCCUUGAGCAACGCACAUUCCACCCCAACCCAUGCAUAACGUUAGACAAGACUCAAUGACUAAUUGUAUAUAUUUUUAAUUUUAUUCAACAACUACAUAAGUAUAUUUUUAAAUGAUUGUUAAUAUAAUUACAUGUAUUUUCAUCUAUUUUAUAUGAAUUUAAAAUAUUACAAAUUAAAUAUAAUAUAAGAUAUAAGUUCUAUUCAAUUAAAUUUAAAUUUAAAUUCAAAUUUUAAAUUAUCCAACAAUAUAAAUAGUAGACAUAAAUUCAAAGAAAAAAAUUUGGGGUUUAGCUGGAAAAUUACCUCUCAAAUUCCACUAAAAUAAAUAAAUAGAGUUUAACUCGAAGAUUACCUCUCAAAUUUAACUGAAAUAUGAAACAUACUCAAUAAUAAAGGUAUCAAUUCAAAGGUAUAAAGCUACAUAAAUUCUUAGUUAUGUCUUUGAAAUAUUUUCAUAAAGGCACGUGCAAAAACUUUUUGAUUCUAAACAAAUUCAUUGUCUCAACAUUACUUGUCGAAACCGUUUUUUGAAAACAAAGAUCUAGUUGUCGACUUUAAAAAUAAAACAGCAGUCGCCACCGAUCCUUUAUUAAGGUGUGAUCGGCUCACCUUUAAAAAUUAUUUUGGUCUACGAAUUUUGAGAAAACGAGUUCGGGAGUCAGUUACGCACGAGGAAGGGUUAGCACCCUCGUAACGCCCAAAAUCGGUACCAAAUUGGUUAUUUGAUGUCUUAGUGUCGAAGGUUAAAAAGAUUUUUAAAAUAAACUCAAUUGAUGGAAUUUGAAAAAGGAUAAUCAAUUGUUCAAGUCAUGUAAAGAAAUCGAGUCCCAAUACGUUAGGGUACAAUUCCUCAUAAUCCCCGAACUUUGAAUAUCACUUUAUUUUAUGUGAAAAUCUUCCUUUUGAGAAAGUAACAUGCCACACCAAAUACGUUAGGACACGACAUGUUAAGUUCCAAAAAAUGAUUUUUAUACUCAUGCAUUUUGAAUAAAGAAUAUUCUCGGUUAUUUUAGAUUGACAAAGAAAAUCGGAACCCAAUACGUUAGGGCUCAAUUCCCUCGAAAAUCCCAAACUUCGAAUAUUGCUUUUAUUCAAAAAAAAACUUUGAAUCAAGAGAAUAAUUUCAAUGUUUUGUCAAAAACCAAAAUAUAUCUUCUUGUUCAAAAGGAAAUGACAUAAUGUUAAUAGACAACAUGGAAUACAUACAUUAAUUUAAAUUAUACAUGUACAUGUAUUAUGAAAUGUCAAUGCAUAUAUAUACAUGUAUGCAAAAAGUUAUGGAAAUAAAAUAAUAAAAUAUAUAAAAUAUGGACAUGUAUUUACCAAAUAUGUAUAUAUAUACACACAUAUAUUUAUGAAAAAUAAAAACGUAUUUAGAGUCAUACAGAUAUAUAUAAAUCAUUAAAUAUAUGGAAAAAAAUGAAAAUAUGUAUAUAAAAGAUGUAUGUAUAUAGGUAUAUAUUUACAAAAUAAAAAAAAUGUAUAAGUAUACACGUAUUGGUAAAUCAUGAAAAUACAUAUAUGUAUAUUAAAAUACUUAUAUAUAUGUACAAUAUAUGUAUAAAUAAUGGAGUAUAUAUAGAAUAAUAAAAUAUUUAUAAUAACUCAAAAAUACAAAAAAAAUGUAUAUAUAUAAUAUAAAAAAUGUGUAUUUUGAAUUGUAAAAUAUGAGAAACAUGUGUGGAUUUUAAAAUGUAUAUGUAUACAUACAUAUAUAUAUGUUUGUAAAAAAAAUAAAAAUUAUGAAGAAUAAUAUAAAAACAUACAUAUACACGUAUUUACAAAAGUAAAAAAAAAUUUGAAGCUGAAAUAUAAAAGUAUAUAUAUAACUGUCAUUGAAGGGCGAUCAGAAGGUAGUAAUUGUAUACACCAAAAAGCAAUUAUUAUCAUCUUCUUUACCAUUACUUUUUCAUCGUCAGAAAUACCUCCGAACUCCAAGUCCUCUCCUUGAUCCAAUUGGUCAUAAAUCCAAGAUGGAAAAUAUAUUUGACUAGUGUGGUCAGCAAAUGCAUUCACAUUCUUUCUCCUUCCAACAAUUUCCAUCAAUACAUUCCAAAACUAUAAACAUCAGCUUUGUAUGAGAUGCCUCAAUGUAAAGCGAUGAUUUUAUAGGUUUCGUGCAAUUCAUAACAUAAAUAAUGCUAACCUCUAACCUUCUAUCAUAAUAAUUACCAUAAGGAUAAAUAUAAGAAUAAGAAAAGAAUCUACAAAAGUAACUAAGAGGAAGGGAGUUGCAAUCAUCCGUGUCCAACAAUCAACCCCUCCCAGAGUAGGCUGUCGAGGAGCCUCCUGCACAUCAUAAAUAGCACGAGUUGUACGCCCCAAAGCAUUUGCCAAGGACCAUCAAGAUGAAGGUCAAUAACAUUUGUGUAAAUUUGGAGUGCUACCUUACAGCCAAAACUAACAGAAUAGUGACUGUUUGGAUUGAAAUGCCAAUUAUGAGUCAGUUCGGAGUCGGAUACAAGCAAAGUAGCAUUCGAAGCAUCCGUUGCGCAUCUUAGGAGAUAGAAGACCUUGAGUUACAUGAUUUCAUUUUGAGUAUUGAAAAUUGAAAAUAGGAUAAGUACCAACCACUAAUAUAUUAUCAGCAAAAUCUCCCAAUUGAAAGAACAAAAGAUGCAUCUAUACUAUGUUUAAAAGUUUAAUAGAGUUUAUGGUUAUCUAUCAAUGAGGUAUCAACUCAAUUGUAAAAUCAUUAAAAUCUUAUUAUUUUUAAAAACAAAAAAAAUUAUAUUGAGAGUAUUUUUAUUUUUUAUUAAACUUUAUAAAAUACAUCAAUUUAAUAGAAUUUGAACCCAAAACAUCAUAAUCCUUGUACAGACCCAAUUUCUGCCCGGCCCACUAACAAAAAGAACCCAAUACCCACAAACCCAAUAACCCACCUAAACACUAACCCAUACCAGCAGACCCAAUUACCAGGCCCAGUGGCCCAAAAUUUUAAAAUCAUUUCAGAAACCCUAAUCCCCUUAACCCUAGCCGCCUCUUCUGAUCUUUCUGCUACUACUGCCGCCAUCACCUACCCUCUGCCACCGCCACUGUUUCGCCCACUUGCACCACCUGCUCCACCUGCAAAACAAAGGAGAACACGCAAACAAAGAAGGACAAAACAGUAGAAACAAUAAUAAAAUAAAUUGUGUAAAAAUGGCUAUAUAAAGGCCAUUCAAACGAAUUGUAAGGGGUUCGGCCCCUCUUUCACUAUUUCAAGAAAUAAAAAGGGCAAAGAAAACGGAUUCAAGAAAUUUUUCUUUUGGUAUAAACUCUAUUUUCUUUUAUUUAUAUUUUUCUCUUUAUUUUUCUUCCAUCCGAAACUGUUUGAUCCUUUAUUCUUAUUUUUAUUUUUCUUUUAUUUUUAAAAACAUAUAUAUAUAAAUAUAAUAUAUAGAUUUUAAAAUAAAAAAUAAUACCUUUUUUGAAUUUUUUGGCCACCAUACACGGUGGCCGGCGCGACGACGGAGCGGCGGCGACGUGGUGGCCAAGUUCGUCGGAUUCUGGGCAGUGCUGGAGAGGGGGAGAGAAUAUUUUUGAGAAGAAGAGUUUUUUUUUUUUAAGGAAAGCUGAAAAUGAUUUUUUUGGGGGGAAACCUUGACUUUUAUAGGCCCCCCAAAACGACGUCGUUUUGGGCAAGCCUCUUAGGUACCAAAACGGCGCCGUUUUAAGGCCGGCCUGAAAACCGACCCGACCCGCCUGAAGGAUCCGCGUGUUUUCGACGGAAGGGAUAAUUGCGUUUUCAGGCCUUCCGCUUUUAAAUAAUUUUGCAAUCAAGUUCUUUCCUUUUUUUAAAAUUCGCCCUAUAUUUUAUUUUCAUUCACAAUCUGGUCCACUUUGAAAUGCAGUGUUUUGGAGGGUGGGGAUUAUUUCCAUUUUGGUCCCCCUCUUUCCGAGCGUGUCACAAUUUAGUCUUUUCAGUCUUUUUUAUUUGAAAUUCGCUCAGUAUUUUUAUUUUUACUUCGAUUUAGUCCCUUUUUUAGUAGUAUUAUUAUUAUUAUUAUUAAUUAUUGCUAGUUUUAUUUUCCUUAAACCUAUUCGUCACUGCUUUGAUUAGUAUGUUAACUUGUUUCAUUAUUAUUAUAGCUUUCUUUUUUAUAAUAUAUGUACAUAUACCUAUGAAUAUUUUAUAUAUAUAUAUGCAUACAUAAUUAUAUACAUAUAUAUACCUUAUAAUAUUAAUGCGUACAUAGUUUUAUUUAUUAAAUAUUUUUAUACUCUAUAUUUUUAUACACUUGUAUAUAUACAAACAUCUAUGUUUCAAUUCAUAUAAAUAUAUGUACGUAUACAUAGUUAUGUGCUUUAUGUACCUAUUAUAAUUUGUUUACAUGUUUAUAUAUAUCUAUACAUAUAUUUUUAUAUUUCGUGAUAGUUAUAUGUACACAUAUACAUGUAAAUACUUAUAUUUUAUGCCUCAUAAUAUAUAUAUUUUCAUAUUUUCAUAUUUUAUGAUUUUCAUCUAUUUUCCUUUAUUGUUAUUGUAAUUUUCAUGUGUAUUUGUUUAUUUAUUUAUAUGUCUAUUUUUUUAUGUUUUAGUUUUUUUUAUUUGUUAUGAUAUAUGCACAAUUAAUUUAGUUUAUUAUUUGUUUUGUUUUUUUUUAUUCACACAAUCAUGUUCAAUAUUUCAUUAUGCAUAUAAAUAUCAUAUUUCAAAAGGAAAAAUAUUUCUAAAUGAGGCAAUGUUUUGCGUUUGGAAGUUCGAGAAAACAUGCCCUAAGGUGCUGGGUGUCGAUUUUUCUUGUUCAACCAAAUAGCUUAAUAUCCUUUUAAAUUUUUAAAAUAAGGCAAUGUUUUGCGUUUGGAAAUUCGAGAAAACAUGCCCUAAGGUGCUGGGUGUUGAUUUUUCUCGUUCAACCAAAUGGCUUAAUAUCCUUUUAAAAUUUUUAAAAUAAGGCAAUGUUUUACGUUUGGAAAUUCGAAAAAACAUGCCCUAAGGUGCUGGGUGUCGAUUUUUCUCGUUCAACCAAAUAGCUAAACAUCCUCUUGAAUUUAAAUUCAUGCCAUUCGAGUUUUUAGGAUCGUAUUUUAAAUUUCUUUGAAGUUUUCAGUUUUUCGACACUAAGACAUUAAGUAAUCAACUAGGUACCAAUUUUGGGCGUAUCGAGGUUGCUAAUCCUUCCUCGUGCGUAAUCGACUCCCGAACCCGUUUUUCUGAAUUUCGUGGACCAAACUUGUUGUUUUAAUAAAAUCAAAUUGUUUAUUAAAAACAACCACUUUUUGAGGUGAUCCGAUCACACCUCAACAAAAAGGAUCGGUGGCGACUCCCGUUUUCGUUCUCAUUUUUCAAAACCCAAGUCGACCCCAUUUUCCAUCCAAAAAAAUGGUGUCAACAGCUUGGCGACUCCACUGGGGACUUUAAAUAAGAGAGUCAAGCCACGAGUUGAUUAUUUCUUGUCUUUUUUGUCGAAAGUUGAAAAUUUGAUUUAAAUAUACGAUCCUCUCAUUGCAUUCCAUUUGUUUUGAGUUAUAGUUUUCAUUAUGUUUUGUAUUUUAAAUUUUUAUAUCUUUCUGCACAUUGCAUUGCAUGACCGUUAGUCACACCUUUUAAGUGGGAGUGAGAAGCUACUCCUUCGUGAGGUUUUCACCUCCGUACAGGAUAGUGGAUCGCUUUCGGGAUACAUCCGUACCUGUGUCUUCGUGAGAUUUUCAUCUCCGUGCAGCCAUAGGGAAAUGUAUUCCCCUGAAUUGAACUCGGUCUGUAUGAGCCUAUAAUGGGUGAAGAUCGAGGAAUAUGCUGGUUCGGGUACCUUAUCUUUAGAACCAACCCACAUAUAGUGGACUUAGGAACUUAACCUAGGUAGAGCCACUCCAAAUCCCUAGUAUUUACCUGAUUAGGUUUUUUUUUUGUUUUCCGUGCUUGCUUAUGUUUUGUUCUAACCCUUCUUGUUGUGUUUUGAUUAUGAUUGCAUUACAUUGCAUUUGCAUCUUAGGAAAGAGAUAUUGAUUCAAGUUCGAUUACUAAAUUAGAAAGCUUGUCAUGGAAUACGGAUUCCUUGAUAAAGUGGAAAACAAUACGACUGCCCGAAUAUAUUCUGAGAAACACAAGAAUGGCGAUGUAAGAGUUUGUGAUCCUACUUCGUGGCCUAAGGAUUCAAGGAAAUUGUCUAAGAGCCUUCAACAUUCCACUCACUUAAAGAAGCUGACGAGCCUUAUGAAGAUGGGCAGAUGAUGGAUCACGACCAAGAUCAAGAAAAUGAGCUAGCAGUGACAUUUAUUGAAAAUUGGCGAGAUUACCUUAAACAUGCGGAUAAAGAAAAAAGGACCGAUGUUUCUUGGAAUAUGACGGUGAGGCCGUACAUAUAUCCGUUUUAUGUAAGGGAAUUUGUUUUCUAGAAAAGUUUCCUAAAUGUAAUUGAAUCAGAAUCAACGUCUCUUUAGGCAUUCAUUUCAUGCAUUUGCAUUACAUUGCAUUACAUGCAUUGAAAGAGUCUAAACGAGUAAAUUUAUUUCAGCUAACCUGGAAAACCAACCAACCAAACAAAGACUAGAGAAAUGGAACGAAGGUUGGAAAAAUUAGAGCGAAUGCAGAUUCAGAUGCAGGAGCAAUUAACUGAAUUUCAACAGGAGACGAGAGAUCAGAUGCUAGAAUUACGGAGAACUAUGAUAAACCAGUUUAACCGAUUGCUAGCUGGAAAGUCAAAAGAAGUGAAAGACCCGGUGGUUUACUUUGGGGUUGAUAAUGAGGAUCUUGUCUAUUCCUUAGAUUGUACUCCGACAAGUGUCCAGGUUCAGCUAGAUGGGCGUCCACAAUGAGCACUUUUUACUGUCGGAUCCCAAUAUUAUCAGACUGGUACAUCGACACCAGUGAAUUGCCUGACAGGCUUAGAAUCCAAUUUGAGGAAUGAUUUAGCUAGUCCUGUUGCUAAUCUAGCCGAAAUAAAGAAGAUGAGGAUAGAAUACCCAGAUACUAAAAAGGCACUAGGGAAGAAGGCGAAUAAAGAGGAUAAUGCAGGCAGAUAUAACAAGGGCCACUCAAAACCAAUCACUACAGGCCGGCCAAAGACAGAAACCACCAGACAUCGGAAUCCUUUAAAGCAAGAAUCUGGAGCGAAACCAGGUACUGAGAAGCUCCAGUUCAUACCAAUUCUGAUGUCAUAUAGUGAGUUAUACCGAAGCUUAUUUGAUGCACGUGUGGUGUCCCCCUUCUACUUAAAACCCAUACAGCCUCCGUAUCCCAAAUGGUAUGACACGAACGUAUAAUGCGACUACCAUGCGAGAAUUACGGGGCAUUCAAUAGAGAACUGCAUUGCCUUUAAGAAACUGGUUGAAAAGCUCAUUAAUAUGGGGGUUGUCAGAUUUGAUGACUCGUCUAGCGCAGAAAAUCUACUACCUAGCCAUAUUGAUAAUGGGGUAGACAUGAAGGUAGGAAGGGGAUCAGUUAUUUCUGAUUCAGGAGGAAAUAAGGGAAAGACACGGAACCAUUGCGAUUUCCAUCAUGAGAGAGGGUUCGAGACCCAAGAGAGUGUGGAAUUCAAGGCCUUGGUUCAGGACAUGAUGGACGAUAAGGGGAUGAAGCUUCGUGAGGAAAUUAAAGAGGAGGAAAACAUACGUUCAAUGUUGGCAAGCGUUCACACCAAUGACAUAUUUGAAGACACGAAUGAAAAGGAACCUUGUUAGAUAUCUGCCCUUAUAAAUCUGGAGUGUUCUAAGCAACUGGGCUGCGAAAAAAAUCCCUUUAGUUUUUAGGGCUUAUCUAGAGUAAUGUUCAGAACAUUUUGUUGUUUUAGCCUAAAGCGAUAUAAAUUCCUUUGUGAAAUAGGUUAAUGUAUGAACGUUAUUAUUCUAAUAAAAUACAUCUUUGCAUUCCUUUUUGAGCUAAUAUUCUUUCAUUUAUUUUGAAUAAUUAUUUCUGAUUCUUUCAUUCUUUUGAAUUUUCUUCCAAACCAUCAUUCAUUCAUUCAUUCAUAAUUAUAUGAUACAAAUAAUUAUUCAUGAAUCUAUACAUUCUUUUGUAUAUUCUUUGGUACUUGCUAUGGGUCCCCGGAUAUCAAUUACGUGAAUGACUGCUACAGACCCAGAUUUUCCUUUUGAGUGAGGCAUGUGUUCAGAGGGAUCUCAAUGCUUUGAAAAUGAUAAAGAUUGUAGUUUAUCUCCUAACUUGUUAAGGAUGGUUGAACAAGAGGAUAGACAGAUCCUACCUCACAAGGAAUCAUCAGAAAUUGUGAGCUUAGCGAGGAUUAGAAUUGACCUGAUCGCAGAGACGAAGCAACACCUUGUUGAGGCACCUCUAGAUUUCGAAGAGAUCUUUGUAGGAUCAUACCAGGAUAUGCCUGGGUUAAAUGCCGAUAAUGAAAUCUGCACAACAGCACGAUGUCAGAAAUUUACAGUAUGAAUGAUGUAAUUCUUUACCGGGGCAAUGUCUUUCUCGUGGAGUCAGCAUAGUUUUGCCCAUUUGAAGUUGAAUUUCCGUCUCUUCAAGUUGUUGUUGGGUCCAUCCUGAUUAAAGAGGAAGAUCCAAAGUUUUUUGUCGAAGUUGCAUCCCAAAAGGCUCAGAUCAAAAAAGUGAAGAAAAAGAAAAAUCAAAAUCAAAGUCAAAAUGAAAAUGAAAAUGAAAAUGAAAAUGAAAAUGAAAAUGAAAAAAUCAAAAAUCAAAAUAAAAAAAACAAAAAGAAGAAAGAAGAAAAAAAUCAAAAUCAAGAUCAAAAUAAAAAUGAGAAAAAGAAAGAAGAAUGAAAAAGGAGAAAUCUAGAUGAAAAAAUCAGAAUGAAAAAGAAAAGAAAAAAGAAAAGGAGAGGCUAAAGCGAAAACUCGCAAAGGGCGCUUUGUGACCAAAUGAGGUUUUGAAUUGAAAACCCGAAAAGGGCGACUCAAAUUUCGAGCACAAUGAGGCAUGAACAUCACCAUUAUCAGAGACUUCUAAUGGGCAUUGCUUCAUUUUGAGAGGCUACUUCAUGAGCCAAAGUCAUCGUAUACCGAUACAGAAUUUCAGAGAAGAGGUUAUUGGAGAAUGCAUUGAGCUUAAACAAUAGCACGAUCGCUGAGGUCUCAAAUUAACUCAGAAGUGGACACCACGAUUCGUCACUGAAUUGCCUAGAAUUGAACAUCGAAAAUUGAAGGAAAAUGACUGAGACUUAGGGUCUGUUUGAUUGCCAGUAAAAUGUUUUCCGUAAAAUGAUUUCUGGAAAAUGGUUUACUUUUCUGUAAAAUGAUUUACUGGAAAAUAUUUUCUGGUGUUUGACUGAAUCUGUGUAAAAUAUUUUUUGCUGUUUGGCAGAUUUUCUGAAAAUAUUUUCGAAAAAGUUGUUUUUACAUAUAUUAAUAUAUAUUAAUAAUUUUUUAUAUUUUAAAUUAUUUUUACAUAUAUUGCAAUGAUUUAUUUAUAAUAAUACUCAAUUAUUAAGCUACAAUAUUAGUCGUUAUAAAUUGAAAAAAACUAAUAUCAAAUAAAUUAUUUGUAAUUGUGUUAAAAAAACAAGUAUUGAAUAAUUAAAAAAACAAGUUAUUGGAAAAUCGAUAAACAGAAGCAGUUUUCUACCGGAAAUGAAGGAAGGAAUGAAGGAAGCGAUAAAGAGGAGAGCACGGAAAAUGUCUUACGGAAAUUGAAAGGGUAAGACAUUUUCCCUAAAAUGUAACCCAUUUUCCCUUGUUUUGGAGUUCAUUUUCCAAAUGGAAAAUGUUUUCCGCCAAUCAAACGCUGAAAAAGUUGAAAAUGAUUUUCCGGAAAAUCAAUUCCGUCAAUCAAACAGACCCUUACAAGGAUUGGCAUGAGAAAUUACUAUUUGCCUUCCUUGCUUGUCGAACAUCUGUACCGGGGCAAUACCUUUCUCUUUGGUUUGCGGGGUUUAGGUAGUUUUACCUAUUGAAAUCCUUUCUCUCCAGGUAUUAUUUGAGCUAGAAUUGGAUGAAGCAGAAUGGAUCCAAUCGCGAUGAGAUCAGUUGAACCUAGAAAAAAGGUUAAAAGCUAUUCUUCAGGGUCGGAUGUACCGGAAACAAGUGAUACGAGCCCAUAAUGAACAGUGUCAUAUCAGAGAAUUCCACGAGAGGGUUGGAUGUCGAAAAAGAUCAUUCCUCUCUAAAAAUGAUUCCAGAGGGAAAUAAAUGCCAAACCGGGAAUGUCCCUACGUUGUAAAGAAGACAUUCUUCAGAAGAGCACUGAUCUUGAGUAAGAUUGCUAGUCCUAUAAACUCGGAUCCAGUCAAGAAAUACUUCGUUUAAAGAAUGAGGAAGGACCAAGGUGAAAACCCGCAAAGGGCACUCUAAGUCAAAAAAAAUGAAAUGAAAAAUGAGAAUGAAAAAUAAAAAAUAAAAAAUAGAGAGGCUAAGGGGAAAACCCGGAAAGGGCGCCUUAGGCCAAAGGGGAUUUGAGUUGAAAACCUGAAAAUGGCGGCUCAAAUAUUUGUUCAGAAUGGGGCAUGAGGCGAUCAGAGCGAUUCGAAUUUUGAUCAUAUUGGGGCAUGUGGUGAUCUUGCUAUGCCUGAAUCAACAGGAAAGGAUAGACGACAUCUUGGGGCAUCGACAGAGCACUGUAGAUCUCCUAAACACAUGUCCAACUCAAAAUGGUCUUCAGAAAGUUUGUACAGAGAAGUUCAAGUAGCGAUAUCUGGAGCACCCAAUCCUCACAUUAUUUGUUAUUCUUGGAAUAUUUUUUCUUUCCAAGAUAUACAUCCCCAAUUAAUUUCUUCGUCAUCCUUCUUUACAAUUUUUGGUAAUUUAUUCCUUUUGAGCUAUGCUCAGAAUCAAUUUUAUUCUUAUCCAUUGUUAUGACCCUUUUUGCAAAGCAUGUUGCAUUAGAAUAAUGAUUAAUGGACUAAUAAUACUUUCACAAUGGAAGUUUUGCAUAUUACUCUAGAAGUUUCUAAAUAAUAUAGGAGCCUAAAGCAGUACUAUUGUUUAGAACACACCAAUUUUUAAAGGUUGGAAAUUUGAGAAGGAAUAGUCUAAAUUUAGACUUUCUCUUUGGAUUUUUGUUUUCAAGUGCACUGAAUGAACAAAAUGACAAGAUGCCAUGUCAAUGGCAAAGCUUAAACGAACAAACAAGCAAUGAUCAUCAGGCAAUAGGAAGAGGUUACCUCGGAGAAGAGAGCCUUCAUUUGUGCAUGAGCAUUUGGUAUGACACCUUGGGGAUGAGGUAAAGGACCAAAGAGUUUCACAUUCAAUAUCAUUGAAUUGCGAUAGGAGAAGAUUGAGAAAGGCCAUACAUUUCUACCCUUUGGUUAUAGUGGGAGAUUGAUGGUGCAAAUUUUAUGUCCCAGUGGAUUGAACUUUGACGUUCAUAGUGGGGGGCAAUCAGAUUAAGUGAUCCUUUGGAUAUGCUAGCCGAGCAAGAAGGUGGUAUAGCACGUCAGUAAUAAAGCCUUAAUAUGCUUUUGUGUGAUGAUAACCUAAGCAUUAAGGAAUCAUUUUCAUGACAUUUUGCAUGUCAUUCAUACACAUCUAGUUAGGAGCAUUUGAUUCGUUCUGAUCAUGUCAUCCUAAUCUCUAGGCACAAUUAGGUUCAUAAAAUAGAACAUACAGGUCAUGUUCCCUAGAGAACAAAUCAGUGAACAUCGAAAACAAAGCCUUGCCUUCAUUGGUUACAGUGAAGCUGGUUAAAGAAGCAGAUCUUGCCUUCCAGCAUUAACAGCGAAGCAGAUCGAAAACAAAUCAUUGCCUUCAUUGGUUACAGUGGAGCUGGUUAAAGAAGCAGAUCUUGCCUUCCUGCGUUAACAACGAAGCAGAUCGAAAACAAUCCUUGCUUCAUUGGUUACAGUGGAGCUGGUUAAAGAAGCAGAUCUUGCCUUCCUACGUUAACAACGAAGCAGAUCGAAAACAAGCCUUGCCUUCAUUGGUUGCAGUGGAGCUGGUUAAAGAAGCAGAUCUUAUCUUCCUACAUUGACAGCGAAGUAGAUCGAGGACACAAGCCUUGCCUCCCUUAGUUGUAGGGGAGCAGAUCAAAGACAGCAAAUCUUAUCUUCAAGUGUAAGGAAGCGGAUUUAAGCCACAAGUCCUAUGUCCCUGACCAGCAGUGGAAUAGGUUGGAAAUUUCAGAUCUUAUCUCCCUGAGGUUACAGCGGAGCAGAUCGAAGACAUAAUCCUAUCUCCCUGAAGUUACAGUGGAGCGGAUUAAAAUAAAGGAUCUUAUCUCUCUGAAGUUACAGUAGAGUAGAUCGCAUCAGGUCUUAUUUCCCUGAGGUUACAGCGGAGUAGACCGAAAAAUUUCAGAUCUUAUCUCCCUGAGGUUACAGCGGAGCAGAUCGAAGACAUAAUCCUAUCUCCCUGAAGUUACAGUGGAGCGGAUUAAAAUAAAGGAUCUUAUCUCUCUGAAGUUACAGUAGAGUAGAUCGCAUCAGGUCUUAUCUCCUUGAGGUUACAGCGAAGUAGACCGAAGAAUUGCAGAUCUUAUCUCCCUGAGGUUACAGCGGAGCAGAUCGAAGAUAUAAUCCUAUCUCCCUGAAGUUACAGUGGAGCGGAUUAAAAUAAAGGAUCUUAUCUCUCUGAAGUUACAGUAGAGUAGAUCGCAUCAGGUAUUAUUUCCCUGAGGUUACAGCGGAGUAGACCGAAGAAUUGCAGAUCUUAUCUCCCUGAGGUUACAGCAGAGCAGAUUAAAGACAUAAUCCUAUCUCCCUAAAGUUACAGUGGAGCGGAUUAAAAUAAAGGAUCUUAUCUCUCUGAAGUUACAGUAGAGUAGAUCGCAUCAGGUCUUAUUUCCCUGAGGUUACAGCGGAGUAGACUGGAGAAUUGCAGAUCUUAUCUCCCUGAGGUUACAGCGGAGCAGAUUAAAGACAUAAUCCUAUCUCCCUGAAGUUACAGUGGAGCGGAUUAAAAUAAAGGAUCUUAUCUCUCUGAAGUUACAGUAGAGUAGAUCGCAUCAGGUCUUAUUUUCCUGAGGUUACAGCGGAGUAGACCGAAGAAUUGCAGAUCUUAUCUCCCUGAGGUUACAGCGGAGCAGAUUAAAGACAUAAUCCUAUCUCCCUGAAGUUACAGUGGAGCGGAUUAAAAUAAAGAAUCUUAUCUCUCUGAAGUGGCAGUAGAGUAGAUUACGUCCAAGUCAAAUCUCCCUGAAGUUGCAGUGGAGUAAGUUAAAAUCCCAAACCUCACCCCCUGAAGGUACAACAGAGUGGAUUGAAGCUACAAGUCUUGUCUUUUUGAAGUUGCAGCGGAAUGGAUAGAAGCAACAAUGUACAGUGGACUGGAGUGAAGCUACUUGAAGAGAAGCGUCAAGAGAAGUCAAGACUCGGCGAAACCGGGCAAAAAAUUGGUCUUUCUUAGUCUUUGCUCUGUUAUCGUUACACGACAAUGAGCAAAGAGGGGCAGCUGUACAAACCCAAUUUCUGCCCGGCCCACUAACAAAAAGAACCCAAUACCCACAAACCCAAUAACCCACCUAAACACUAACCCAUACCAGCAGACCCAAUUACAAGGCCCAGUGGCCCAAAAUUUUAAAAUCAUUUCAGAAACCCUAAUCCCCCUAACCCUAGCCGCCUCUUCUGAUCUUUCUGCUACUACUGCCGCCAUCACCUACCCUCUGCCACCGCCACUGUUUCGCCCACUUGCACCACUUGCUCCACCUGCAAAACAAAGGAGAACACGCAAGCAAAGAAGGACAAAACAGUAGAAACAAUAAUAAAAUAAAUUGUGUAAAAAUGGCUAUAUAAAGGCCAUUCAAAUGAAUUGUAAGGGGUUCGGCCCCUCUUUCACUAUUUCAAGAAAUAAAAAGGGCAAAGAAAACGGAUUCAAGAAAUUUUUCUUUUGGUAUAAACUCUAUUUUCUUUUAUUUAUAUUUUUCUCUUUAUUUUUCUUCCAUCCGAAACUGUUUGAUCCUUUAUUCUUAUUUUUAUUUUUCUUUUAUUUUUAAAAACAUAUAUAUAUAAAUAUAAUAUAUAGAUUUUAAAAUAAAAAAUAAUACCUUUUUUGAAUUUUCCGGCCACCGUACACGGUGGCCGGCGCGACGACGGAGCGGCGGUGACGUGGUGGCCAAGUUCGUCGGAUUCUGGGCAGUGCUGGAGAGGGGGAGAGAAUAUUUUUGAGAAGAAGAGUUUUUUUUUUUAAUGAAAGCUGAAAAUGAUUUUUUUUGGGGGAAACCUUGACUUUUAUAGGCCCCCCAAAACGACGUCGUUUUGGGAAAGCCUCUUAGGUACCAAAACGGUGCCGUUUUAAGGCCGGCCCGAAAACCGACCCGACCCGCCUGAAGGAUCCGCGUGUUUUUGACGAAAGGGAUAAUUGCGUUUUCAGGCCUUCCGCUUUUAAAUAAUUUUGCAAUCAAGUUCUUUCCUUUUUUUAAAAUUCGCCCUAUAUUUUAUUUUCAUUCACAAUCUGGUCCACUUUGAAAUGCAGUGUUUUGGAGGGUGGGAUUAUUUCCAUUUUGGUCCCCCUCUUUCCGCGCGUGUCACAAUUUAGUCUUUUCAGUCUUUUUUAUUUGAAAUUCGCUCAGUAUUUUUAUUUUUACUUCGAUUUAGUCCCUUUUUUAGUAUUAUUAUUAUUAUUAUUAAUUAUUGCUAGUUUUAUUUUCCUUAAACCUAUUCGUCACUGCUUUGAUUAGUAUGUUAACUUGUUUCAUUAUUAUUAUAGCUUUCUUUUUUAUAAUAUAUGUACAUAUACCUAUGAAUAUUUUAUAUAUAUAUAUGCAUACAUAAUUAUAUACAUAUAUAUACCUUAUAAUAUUAAUGCGUACAUAGUUUUAUUUAUUAAAUAUUUUUAUACUCUAUAUUUUUAUACACUUGUAUAUAUACAAACAUCUAUGUUUCAAUUCAUAUAAAUAUAUGUACGUAUACAUAGUUAUGUGCUUUAUGUACCUAUUAUAAUUUGUUUACAUGUUUAUAUAUAUCUAUACAUAUAUUUUUAUAUUUCGUGAUAGUUAUAUGUACACAUAUACAUGUAAAUACUUAUAUUUUAUGCCUCAUAAUAUAUAUAUUUUCAUAUUUUCAUAUUUUAUGAUUUUCAUCUAUUUUCCUUUAUUGUUAUUGUAAUUUUCAUGUGUAUUUGUUUAUUUAUUUAUAUGUCUAUUUUUUUAUGUUUUAGUUUUUUUUAUUUGUUAUGAUAUAUGCACAAUUAAUUUAGUUUAUUAUUUGUUUUGUUUUUUUUUAUUCACACAAUCAUGUUCAAUAUUUCAUUAUGCAUAUAAAUAUCAUAUUUCAAAAGGAAAAAUAUUUCUAAAUGAGGCAAUGUUUUGCGUUUGGAAGUUCGAGAAAACAUGCCCUAAGGUGCUGGGUGUCGAUUUUUCUCGUUCAACCAAAUAGCUUAAUAUCCUUUUAAAUUUUUAAAAUAAGGCAAUGUUUUGCGUUUGGAAAUUCGAGAAAACAUGCCCUAAGGUGCUGGGUGUUGAUUUUUCUCGUUCAACCAAAUGGCUUAAUAUCCUUUUAAAAUUUUUAAAAUAAGGCAAUGUUUUAUGUUUGGAAAUUCGAAAAAACAUGCCCUAAGGUGCUGGGUGUCGAUUUUUCUCGUUCAACCAAAUAGCUAAACAUCCUCUUGAAUUUAAAUUCAUGCCAUUCGAGUUUUUAGGAUCGUAUUUUAAAUUUCUUUGAAGUUUUCAGUUUUUCGACACUAAGACAUUAAGUAAUCAACUAGGUACCAAUUUUGGGCGUAUCGAGGGUGCUAAUCCUUCCUCGUGCGUAAUCGACUCCCGAACCCGUUUUUCUGAAUUUCGUGGACCAAACUUGUUGUUUUAAUAAAAUCAAAUCGUUUAUUAAAAACAACCACUUUUUGAGGUGAUCCGAUCACACCUCAUCAAAAAGGAUCGGUGGCGACUCCCGUUUUCGUUCUCAUUUUUCAAAACCCAAGUCGACCCCGUUUUCCAUCCAAAAAAAUGGUGUCAACAAUCCUUAUUACCUAAAUUUUACCAUACCAAACAAAGCCACAUUUAGCUUUUAUAUCAUUUUUUAAAUAAUCUAAUAUAUCUUUAUUUAAUAAGUAAUAAUCCCAUAUGCAUUAGAGAGAGUAUUAAGUUGAGUUAUUAAAUUUAGGGUUUGUUAUAUUCUAACGGGUUAUUUUCAAUUCCAUUGAAAUGAUUUAUAGGUGAUAACUUUUACAAUUUAAUACGAUUAAUUUUAUUAUAUUACAAUGAAAAACAAAAGAAAAAGAAGAAUUUAAUAUGGUUCAAAGUUUUUAAAUAAAUCUGGACCAUAUACUUGUAGACAAACCUUUACCAUUAAUCUAUUCCAACUUCAAUGAGAACGACCAAGACAAUGCAAGUCUCAAUAGUCCUGUUUGAAACGCAAAAGCAUUCAAGUGGUUGAGAGCAGCAAGCCUGAUCCCUUUUGUCCUUUUGUGUUAUGUAAGUCAAUUGUAGAGAACGAUUGUUGGAAAUUUCUAAAACGUAAGUUAAUAGUUAGAACCCUUGAGCAACGCACAUUCCACCCCAACCCAUGCAUAACGUUAGACGAGACUCAAUGUCUCAUUGUAUACAUUUUUAAUUUUAUUCAACAACUACAUAAGUAUAUUUUUAAAUGAUUUUUAAUAUAAUUACAUGUAUUUUCAUCUAUUUUAUAUGAAUUUAAAAUAUUACAAAUUAAAUAUAAUUAAUAUAAGAUAUAAGUUCUAUUUAAUUAAAUUCAAAUUCAAAUUCAAAUUCAAAUUUUAAAUUAUCCAAUAAUAUAAAUAGUAGACAUAAAUUUAAAGAAAAAAAUUGGGGUUUAGUUGAGAAAUUACCUCUCAAAUUCAACUAAAAUAAAUAAAGAGAGUUUAACUGGAAAAUUACCUUUCAAAUUUAACUGAAAUAUGAAACAUACUCAAUAAUAAGGGUAUCAAUUCAAAGGUAUAAAGCUACAUAAAUUCUUAGUUAUGCCUUUGAAAUAUUUUCACAAAGGCAUGUGCAAAACUUUUUGAUUCUAAGCAAAUUCAUUGUCUCAAUAUUACUUAUUUAAAAUCAAAUCCACAUUUAUUUUUAAACAAAAUCCAACAAUGUAUUUGGCUCAUCCAACAAUUUAUUUUUAAAUGGCAUUUAUUUAAAAAGAACCAAAUGAGAAUUAUUAUACAACUUUAUAAAGUCGAUGACACAUCCAACAUUAAAAGCACAAAGAAACUAGAUUGGCCAACAACAAAACAAUAAUGCCAACAUUCUCAAAUACCGCAACAAAUUUGUUCUAAAAACAAAAGAUAGCGCAUCGCACUUAGAGCGUAGAAAUACUUGAAUUCAAUCAUUGUAACAACGAAAAAGGAAACAAGACAUCCAACAUCCUCAUCACAAUGGAUUCGCCUCUCACCCGCCAACAACGUCUGCAAUGCAAUAAAACAAGAAGAGGCUAUUGUGGUAGCAACUCUUAUAAAUAUUCCAAAAUUAACUUUUAGAUGCAUCAGGUCUUAAUCUAAGGUAAAGGGUUUAUCCAAACAUGAAAAAUCUAACCAACUCAAUUCAAUUCAACCUAACCUCAACCUAUCUAUAUAGUUUACUUUUAAUUUAUAUAUAAUUUCUUUUAUGAUUUAAAUUUAAAUAUUUUUUAACAAAAAUUUUAAAUACUUAAUAUUGAACAAAUAGUCAUAUUAAUGAAAAUUUGUAAUUAUGAUCAAUAACUUAACACAUAGGUAAAAGUGUUUUUUUUUUUACUUAAUAAUAUUAUUAGCAAUAGUACGUUAUUAAUUGUAUAUGAAAAUAAUGAAGCUUAAAAAUUAAAAUUUAAAGACAAUGCCAUUGUCAAAUUUACUCAAAAUUUAUUUUUAACUAUAGUUAUCCAUGUACAUAUGUGACACACAUAAUAAGAUGCUAAUAUAUAUAAGGCAAAAUAUUAUAAAGUUAAAUGGUGAGAUAAUAAAGUGAAAUGUUUCUAACCUUAUGCAAUAUUUGAACUUGUUAUAGUAACAGUAUCCAAUGAUGUACUUGGCUCAUCAUUAGAGUUCUCACAGCUAUGAAUCUCCAUUGAUGUUUCAAGCGGAAGUUGAUGGAAUGGCUUAGGAGGCAUAUCAAGGAGUUCAACAUCAGAUUCAAGCAUCUUCAAAACUUUACUCAUUGAAGGACGAUCAAAAGGCAGUAAUUGUAUACACCAAAAGGCUGUUAUUACCAUUUUCUUUACCAUUGCUUUUUCAUCGUCAGAAACAUCUCCCAACUCCAAGUCCUCUCCUUGAUCUAAUCGGUCAUAAAUCCAAGAUGGAAAAUAGAUCUGACUAGUGUGGUCAGCAAAUGCAUUCACAUUCUUUCUCCUUCCAACCAUUUCCAUCAGUAACAUUCCAAAACUAUAAACAUCAGCUUUGUAUGAGAUGCCUCCAAGAUUUUUGUAAACCAAUUCUGGAGCAAUAUAUCCUAUCGUUCCUCGUGCCGCAGUGAGAGAGACAAUGCUAUCAUCUACUGAAUACAAUUUAGCAAGACCAAAAUCGGAAACUUUUGGAUUAAAAUUCUCAUCAAGAAGAAUAUUGUGUGGCUUGAUAUCAAAAUGUAGAAUUUGCAUGUCACAUCCUUGAUGUAAGUAGUGAAUUCCUUGAGCCACCCCAAGUACAAUAUCAAACAUUUUUUUCCAGCCCAAAGUGUUCUUAUUUUCUUCUGUAAAUAUGAUUUUAUCUAAAGAUCCAUUAGACAUGAAGUCAUAUACUAGAGCUUGCUUUGAUCCCUCCACACAAAAUCCGAUAAGUUUUGCCACAUUAGCAUGAUGAAUUGUCCCAAUGGAAGCAACUUCGUUUAUGAAAUCUUGGCCAUUACCUUUUGAUUUGCCCAACAAUUUUAUUGCCACAUGAUGGCCGCUACGAAGCUUUCCUUUAAACACUGAGCCAUAACCCCCUUCACCUAAUUUAUCUUUAAAAUUUUUAGUCAUUUUUUUAAUUUCUUUAAAAGAAUACCUUAAUGGCACUAGAUUAUUUUGGCUUUUAAGGAACUCUUCGAUCAUAUCAUCCAUGGAUAAAUGUCUUCUCCUCCAUUUGUACGUGACAAAAGCAAGCAAACAAAUGAUCCCAGGAAAUGACCUCAAGAUAACUCCACCUUUAAAGAAAUACAAUGUAACAUGUUGAAAUUAAUCACAUAAUAUAUAACUUACAUUCUCAGAAAAAAGGAUAUAGUGUGAUAGUUUUAUGUUAACUAGUAUUUGAGAGAGUGGCAUAUUUCACUAGUCUAUGGACUUAACCGAGAGUAGUCUGAAUUAUAUGCAUUGUUUUUGUCAUUAGCAGGUAUAUCUCAACAAAUUAAAAUUCAGAAUUUGAAACACAAAAGGAGUAAAUCAUGCAAAGUGGAUGCCAAUUAUUCUAACCUCACACAUUCCAAUAGAUUUGACAGGGUCAUGACAUUCACCCAAAUUAACACAUUCGUAACCCCAUCCAAUUAGCAAAUUCUAAAGAAAGAACAUGAUUCUUAACCAUGAAGGAUACUCAACUGUUGUUUCUAUUCAUGCCAAAUAAAAUUGAAGAAGGACAAAUUAAAAAUAUAAUAACCUUCAAAUUUCAUAAAUGAAACAAAAUCUAGAACCACCAAAAGAUGCAAGAGAACCCCCCAAAAAACAGAUUUGAUAAAUUCAAGAGCUAACUUUGUUGAAUGUUUUAGCAAAAUGAAUAUCCACCAAACUUAUAACCUGUGAAAGUUCUAAACAAUACCAUUAUGAAAACAAGCUUAACUAAAACUCUAACAUCUUUCUUAACUUGACAAAAAAUUUCUUUCAUAUAGAAGAAGAUUGUAUUCUGCAUUCAAACUCCGUAAAGAGUGUCAUAGCUUUCUUAGUUUUGUAGUGAAAUUAAAUAUAAACUUGUAUAAUAUGAUAGGCUCCUUAUUCUUUUUUUCCCCCAGAAUAUAGCUAAUAUUUGUUCUCAACUAGUGCAAAUGCAAAUCUGCAAAUCUAAAAUUAAAUAUACCUGUUAUUAGCAAACAGAGACGAUAAGCUCCGAAGAAUCUGGAUUAUAUAUUCAACAAAUCAAAGUAAAAUUAAUAAAGGGGUGUAAAGAAAAAUUCCAAAUUUGUAUAAAAAAAUCAAUGGAAGGUAAUUUAAAAAAUUAUAUUAUGUUUUGUGGUAUAUACUCAAAAAAGAAAUACAACAAUUCUUUACAUAUGUUUGCUUGUAAAAAGUAUGCAACAUGUGUUACAGUAUAAGAGUUUUUAGGUAACUAAUAUGAUUUAAUAUAAUGAAAGGUGAGACAAAAUUUAUUCAAAUUAAUUAAUCCAAAAAGUAUAUAUUAUAGCAUUAAAAGAGUUUUUGCCAAAAAAAAUAAACUCAUCCACAAUGGUGGAAUAUUUACGUACUACCAACUAAAUUGAAAAUUCAUCAAAAAUAAAGACAAAAUAAAAAGAUAGACAUAAUCAAAUAUAAUUGUCCAAAAAGAAGACAAAACAGCAGAGAAAGCAGAGGCAGAUACUAAAUUAGAAAUGCUUUUAGUUCAUUUGAUUGUUAGAUGUUGAUCAAUUUUAGAUGCAAAAUCAUCAUACUUAAUUACCAUCAUAAUAUUUAAUUGUGAUAAAUGUAACAUAAAAUAAAACAAAACAAAAAGUAGAUGUUGUAACUAAAAAUUCCAGUAUGAUUCACACUCAAAAUGCAAACUUAAAUUAUUAAAGAAACUUACAUAUCUUUAAACCAAACUUUGUUUUUAUUGUAGUAGCUACUCUCGCUAUCCCAUCAACUCCAUUGGACCCAAAAACCCUCCAAUAAUUUUUUGUAUAUAUCCAGCGUAGACAUGCCUAUUAUAUUAUCAAUCAUAAUUGGAACCUCCGCUUUGAUAGUGCAAGCUUGAUUGAUAUCAGAUGGGUGGGUGUUUCCAUUUAAAAAAUAGAAAUAGAAAGUUGGAAGGGAAGAGGAGGUAUUAGAUUUAAUCGUACAACAAGAAGCCUCAAUAAAAAGUGAUGAUUUUAUAGGUUUCGUGCAAUUCAUAACAUAAAUAAUGUUAAAAUUAUAAGAAAAAUAAUAAUGAUAAUUAGAAAAAAGGUAAAAAUAUGGUUUAAAAUAAGGAUAAGUAUCAUAAUAAUCAGGAUAUACAGAAGUAAGAGGAAGGGAGUUGCAAUCAUCCGUGUCCAAGCUUGCAUCCACCAUUCGUAUUGUAUAAUUUUCGUAAAAGAUUUGUUGGACAGAUAAUUUCCCUCCUCUCCCAACCAAAGUGGUGCGAUUAUUGUUCUCACACUCAAGUUCCAUGACAGGAGAACCACAGUGGGGAGGUUGGUUUUUUAAUCGGAAUGGAAAACUGAUAUUCAAAUUCCCACAGAAAGUAGAGCCGCAGUCUUGGUUAAUAAGACUCCUAGCAAAACAAACAGCAGGAAAUAGAAUUACAAAUAAAGCAACAGAGGGCAUUAGGUGACCCAACAAUGGCAGUUUUGCUUUUAAUUUUGGCAUGCUAAAAUUUUGGGUAAGGAAGAAGAACAGUAAUGGGGGGUUAAUGAUUAAGUUUCUAACUAAACCAGGGAAAUAUAUAAGAAAGCUUCAGUGGGAGAAGAAGCAUUAAUGGGGACACAAGACUUUGACUACUCUUCAGCUUUAUUUGGGAUGAAUAUUUUAUUUUCAAUAAAUUGUUUACACCUUUUAUUCUUUAAUCUUUUUUCUGGGAAGAGCCAUGGUUAUCACAAGCAAAAGAAAAAGGAAUUUUAAUAUUAUUCAAAAAAAAAAAAAAUUGGACCAUAUGCUUGUAGUCGUAGAUCAACGUUUAUGACCUUAAUAAAUUCCAAUUACAAUGAGGAGGACCAAGACAAUGCAAGUCUUUAGUCUUCUUUGAAACACAAAAACAUUUGUUGCAUCUUUUGUAACUAUUUGUUGCAUCAUUCUAAAAAGUAAGUUAAUAGUUAGAAGUGUCAAGCAAGGCGACUCAAUGCCCAAUUGUAUAGAUUCUUUUUAUUUUAUUCCACGAAUACUUCACUACUUUUCAAAUAAUUACAUGAAUUUAAAAUAAAACAAAUUAAAUAUAAGAUAUAAUUUCUAUUUAUUUAAGUUUAAAUUCAAAACUAAAUUCUAUUUCUAAAUUUUAAUUAUCCAAAAUUAAUUUAAAAACUUAAAUUUAAAAAUACAUUAAGAGACUUCAAAUUCCGUUUUAUUUUAAAUGAAAUCGGUUUAGUAAAGAGGUGACUAUGGAUCAAGUCAAGCCGAAUCGAAGUUCAGUUUCAAAAAAUUCCAAGUCCUAGAGCCUAUUUUUGAUCCAACUCACCCAAAAGCUCGUUUUCUAUUUGAAAAUAUUAAAAAUAUUUUUAAUUGAUAUUUUACAUAUUUUUAUAAUUAAAUUUAAAUUUUAAUAAAAAUUAUUAUUUAAAUUAAACUAUAAAAAUAUUUAUCCAAAUCUGACCCAAAUCGAAUUAGGCCGGGUGGGCGAUCCGAUCAUGACAGGAAAGGAGAAACAAGAAAGACGAAGCCUAAACAGGCAGUAAAUUCAUUUUAAUUCUACAUACAUUCCAUAUUAUUAUUUAGGGAUAAUAUAGUUUUUGACCCUAAUCUUGAUAGUUAAGUGGACUUUAGUACAUAUAUCUUUUUUGUUCUACUUUGACACUCGAACUUCAAAUAUUUUGGUUCCUAAACUUGAAAAAUAUAAAAGUUUUAUGAUGCAACUCUGUAAGAUUGUGUUACAUCAUCACUUAAAAAUUAAAAAAAUAUAUAAAUAUUUUUAAUUAAUAUUUUAUAUAUCUCUAUAAUUAAAUUUAAAUUUAAAAAAUAUUUUUUAUUAUUUAAAUUCAACUCAGAUUAAAUCAAAAUAAAAUGUAAAAAUACUUAUUCAAAUCUGACCCAAAUUGAGUUGGGCCGGGCAGGCUACCCAGUCAUCUCAAGUCUACUUUAGCACAGGUAAGUAAAGUUGAAUCAUUAGAUUGGGAUAUAUGUGUGCUUCGGGUAAAUACUUAUUUGGGCUGAAUUAUUUGGACUUCAAUUAUGAAUUUAAUUUUUUACUAAUAUGUGUGAGAAGCCCAUUCUUUUAUGAAUUUUGGGCCACUUCGGUUUCGUCUUCAGGAAUUAAACAUUCAUAAAAAUCUAAAAAAAUUUAUUAAAUUAUUAUUUAUUAAUUAAACCAGUUGAUUAUUCAAUCGGUUUGACCACUAGUUCUUGAUUCAACUCAUUUGAUCGGUUCAACUACCCAACUAACAAUAAUUAAAUGAAUGAUUCAACAUCCAUAAAAAUCUAAAAAAGAAUAUUAAAUCGAUUACAUAUGUUCAAUAGCCAAGUUUUUUUUUUACUAAUUUCAAACAAUUUUUUUAAUUUAAUUGAUUCAACCAUUUUGUUCAAACUAGGGUGUUCGCAAAAGUCUCGACUCUCCUAAAAUGGAAAAGUUUUUAUUUAAGUCAUUUAAAAUUUUUAAAAUUUUAAAUUAAUAAAGGUAAAUUACACUUUGGCCCCAUAAAAAUAUAAAAAUUUGAUUUAAUCCUUUAAAAAUUAUAAAGAUAUAGGCUAUUAAAAUGGUGAAAUUAUAUUUUUACUUCGUAAAAAUUACAAUUUAAUUUCGACUCCCUUUUUUUUUUUUGAUUUCGCCCCUAAUUCAAACCAUUAUACCGGUUGGUUCUUAGUCCAAUCAAUCCAACCAACCAAUCCACUACUAUUUCAGUAAAAUUGGUCAUAUCAUCAAAUCUUGAUAGAAUCCAAAUUUAAAGGACCAAAAUAGAUCUAAUUGUCAAACUCAAAUACCAAAAUGGAUCUAACUUAAAAGCAAUAUUGAAACAUGUCUUUCUUGUUUUCUCCGUCUCUUAAAACCCCCUGACCUUUGUUUUUUUUUUUUUUUAGUCUUUGAGUUCCUUAGAGAGUUGGUUCAUAUUUUAGGAUAUUGUUUCAUGCUUUUGGCUUGCGAGUUCUUUGUAUUGUAAUGGUAUUUUUUGUAUUAGUGUGAGGAGUAUUGUGGUGUUAUUUUGCUAUCCAUUGAUUCGUUUUGGGUGAAGGUUUUAUUUUGAGCCUUUGUGUUUGUAUGGGAUACCUUAUCUUCGAGUUCUGGGUUUUUCUUUAAUAUAUUUCUAUCGGUUCGAAAAAGAUGGAAGUCUAGAUUUGAUUUGGAGAUAAAAUUGUGUUUUAAUUUUUGUGUACUUUCCUGAUUUUUCUAAAUAAUAUUUUUUUCUGCUUCAAUCCAACUACAAUACUUGCAUUAUAAACAACUAUUUCAUUGAAUUUCUUUUUUAUUUUAAAAAUACUUUUUAAACUGUUUUUUUUCUAGAGAUUCUCUAAAAUUUUCUAUUAAAAACUUUAUAUAUUUGGUAAAAGGAUUAAAGAAGUUCCUGUACUUAGUGAUGGAUUGCAUUUCAACCCUUUUAUCGAAAAAAAUUGACAAAUUAAUUUUUAUACAUUUCAAAACAUACAAAUUUGUCGCUUCGUUAAAAUUUUUCUACAUUUUAACCUAUUCAUCAUUUCCUUUGCAGAAAAAUAGUUGAUAUACCAUUAGAACAUGAGCCUCAAACAUUAUAAAUGAAUAAUAAUACCUCGGUCUAUGAAGAAGUUAUGUUACAUUUGAUGGAAUAUCAAAGGAAAAUUUUUCGUUUAUUUUAAAAAGAUUUUAUUCAAUUUUCUAAUUGUAUAUAUAAUUGAUAUUAAUUAUUUUUUAUUUUAAGUUUAAUUAUUUUAAAACAUAUUUAUUAAAUAACUUUUUUUGGUGUUAUUAAUUAAACAUCAAAUGCAGCAUUAAUAUUGUAAGUCUUCCGUUAUUUAAUAUUUAAAUAAUAUGAAAUUGAACAUUUAAACGUAAAAUAUAAAAUUAUUCUUAAUAAUUUAUAAUAAAGGGAAUAAUAAAACAGAUGAUUAGAUGAAAUCAAGAAUCAGGUUAAAUUCACACCUGACCAUGGAAAUAUUUGUGUCGAUAUGAUUUAUAAACAGGGUUUAGCCAUGAUACUUUUCUGUGAGAGGCAAAAUCAAAAUUUUUCUUUUCACUUAAAAACUUAAUAUUUUAAUUUUUCCUCAAUUUUGUCCAUUCAAACAUGUUAAGACUGUAUGGUUUGAUUUACCUGUUGGUACGUAAGCUUAUUCAUGCAAAAGUGUCCUUUUAUCAAUUAAAAAGAACAGCAAUAAGGUAAAACGUCAGUUUUUAAUAGAGUCUGACUGCGUCGUCGGCAAAUGAGUGUAGAAUCUUUUACGGUAAGCAAAAGCAUGCUAUCCUAUUUUCCUCCAAUAGCAUAUUUAUUUAUCAUUAAUAAUUACUUUCAUUUUAAUUGUAAUAAAAAUUUAUGACAUAAUUCAUCGUUUACAAACACCAUCUUCAUAUAAUAUUUAAAUUUUCUUUUAGAUAAUUUAUGAUUAUAAUUCUUGAACACAUAUGACAUAAUGGAUGAUUAUUUGGUAUAGCUGAUAGUAAAUUUUUAAUUUCAUAAAUAGAUUUGAAAGUUUGAUAUAUAUUUUAAGUUGUAUUUAAAAAAAAUAGGAUAUAUGAAAAUUUUUCAAUCUCGCUUAUUGAGUUAAUUAAUAAUCCAUAAAAAAAUAUUACUUUGUAUGUUUUAAUUCUUAAUUAAUUUUAGAUAUUUGACUUCUAUUAAUUUAAAUGUUUUAAUGUUUUUUUUGAAUUAAAAAAAGUGUGUAUUUAAUUCUUCAUAAAACAAAUUAUUUGUAAAUAAUCAUAAAUCGGUAUAAGAAGAUCAAACCUAAUAUAUCAAAGCAACUAAUAGCGGAUUGAUUGUUUGAUUUCAAAUGUUUAAAUUUGAUAAUCAAUCAAUUUAAAGAUACAAUGAGAUGUAAUUUUGUAAAUUAGAUAUCUCAAUCUUAGUAUUAAAUGAUUGAUGACUCUAAGCUACUUAAAAACAAGAAGACAAUCAAUCUUCACUUUAAUUUAUAUGAUCCAAAGUUCUUAACACCAUUUCAAAGAACCGUUCAGAAAUUAUAGAUACAAGAUCUAAUCAAAACAUCAAGUAACGGCCAAAUCAAAACCCACCAAAGAGAUAUCCAAAGUCUCAAAUCUGGAAUUAAAGGUCAACGUAACCACAUCAUACAAAGAAAUGCUCCCACCACUCCACUUCGGGACAUGUACAAAAUCUGAUUUCUUCGAUCACUACUUGAAAGAGUUGAUAAUUCUCAUAUUUAGAAUUAUUUUAAUUUAGUUUUUAUAGUAUUUUAGGAGUAAAAUCUUUUUUAUUAUAGUUUAUAGUUUUUGAAAUUAAUUAGAUUUUAUUUAAUUUUCCGGAUUUAUUAGCUAUAUUUUUCUCCAUUGUAAAUUUGAGAUAAAAAAAAUGAAAGAGUUGAAAUAUAAAGUAAGAAAGGAUGAAAUCUUCUACUCCACUUGAUCAACUUUACAGUGAACAUAUUUUUAAAUUCAGAAAUUUUGAUAGCAAUUAUUCCUUCUACCAUAAUUUUUUAUUUGGUGGAGCUCCUAAUAAAAGUCAAAAAGAAAAAAAAAGUAUGGGUUUGACCAAUAUUUUAUGGUUCAUUUUUUAUAUAUUUACUCUAAUCUCUGUUUCUAAAAAAUAUCUUAAAACAUUGAAAAAAUAUAUAGUUUAAUUAGCAACAAAUACGCGUUUUUUAUUCUCAAAUUAUUGGUCCAAUCGGUUGAUUUAGUUAGAGAUUCAAAUAUUAUUUAUGAUUUUAAUAUAAAAUAUGAGAAAUGAUGUUCACAUUUCAAAUGAUGUUCAAAUUGAUGGAAACAGUCAAAAAAGAAAAAAUCCUGAGAUGUCAAGUUUACAUUUUAAAACUGGAAGAAAGAAAUCCUCAAAGCAAAUUGGAGGGGCUGCAAGAUUGUCCAGUCAAAUAGAAAAACUAUGCAAUGCAGCUGACAAUAUGAGUCAAGCCACAUCUAGUUUGACUCCUGUUAUGGAUCCAUAUGGUAUUCCACAAGCAGUCAAAAUGCUUGACAGCAUGUCGGAAGAAGUUCCAGAAGCUAGUCCGCUAUACUUUUUCGCACUUAGAUUAUUGCUCAAUAAGGACAAGCGAAUUAUGUUUUUAUCAAUUAAUCCUAAUAUUAGAGCUUUGUGGCUUAAGACGGAAAUGGAGGAUAGUUGAAAAUUUUUUGAUCUUCUAGGGUUUAAAGAUAUCUAUUUAUGUGUAAUCUUCUAGUUAUAAUGGCUUAAGCGAAUUAUGUUUUUAUCAAUAGUUAUUUAUGUUUAGUUUUUGGAUAUUGAAUUUAUGUGCGAAUUAUGCUUUUGGAUAUUGAAUUUAUGUGUAAUCAAUUAUGUUUUAUUAAUAGUUGUUUAUGUUUGGUCUUUAGAUAUUGAAUUUAUGUUCCACUUAUUUUUUAUUAAAUUAAUUUUAUUAAUGGUUGUUUAUAUGUGAUUUUGGAUAUAAAAUUUAUUCACAGGUGAUGAGUAUAGUUGAGGAUUAUAGCAGUGAUGAAAGUGAUGAUCAAAGGGAAAAGAAAGAGAUGUUACAACGCAUGGAAUGUUUUAACCGAAUAUUUGUUGUUGCAUCUUCUUCCAUGCAAUUAUAUUACGAGAAGUAUAUAUUGAGGCAACCAUGCAUGGAUUCAAAACAGUCAGGUGAGACAUGGAUCCGAGAGAUCCUUGACGGUCACGAAUCACGUUGUAUGAUUAAUUUUAAGAUGUCUAAAAUGGUAUUCACAAGUUUGUUGAGAGUUUUGGAGACAAGAUACAACUUGCAAACUUCAAGAAACAUAUCUUCUACUGAAAUGUUGGGAAUUUUUUUAUACAUCUUGGGCACCGGUGCAAAAGUUUCCCAAUGUCGAGAAAGAUUUCAAAGGUCUGGAUCAACAAUAAGUCGAUACUUUGCAGUUGUGCUUGAGAAAGUUUCAAGGAUGGCCAUUGAUCUAAUUGCACCUGAAGAUCCUUUUUUUAGCUCAAUACCCGAACAAAUACAUAAUGAUUCUAGAUAUAUGCCGCAUUUUAAGGUUAAAAUUUAAUUUCAUAUUAUUAUAUUUUAAUAUAUUUGGUCGACUAAAAAUAUGCACGAGAGUAAUAUGAUUAUUUGUUCAGGAUUGUAUAGGUGCAAUUGAUGGUACUCACAUUGCGGCUAUUCUUCCACCAAAUGAACAAAUUCCCUAUAUUGGAAGAAAAGGUAUCCCGACUCAAAAUGUUAUGGCAGUAUGUGAUUUUAAUAUGUGUUUCACAUUUGUCAUGGCUGGAUGGGAAGGAUCGACACAUGACACUAGAAUAUUUCUUGAUGCAAUUCGAGAUCUAAAAUACAAAUUUCCGCACCCUCCAAAUGGUUAGAUAUUUUAUUUAUAUGUGAUUUUUUAAAUAAUAAAGUAAGUUCUUUAAUUGAUUUUUUAUUAAAAAAAUUCUUGAAUUAAUUGUUUGUUAUAUUAUGACUUGUAGAAAAAUAUUAUCUUGUUGAUUCUGGAUAUCCUCAAAUGAAAGGUUAUCUUGGACCAUAUAGAGGUCAACGAUAUCAUUUACCUGACUUCCGAAGAGGUAGACCGAUUUCUGGUAAAGAAGAGAUAUUCAAUCAUUCACAUUCAUCAUUACGUAGUGUGAUUUAACAAACUUUUGGUGUUUUAAAAAAAAUGGGCCAUUUUAAGGGAUAUGCCAAGUUAUAGUUUUGAAAAGCAAACGGUGAUCGUUGUUGCUAUAAUGACGAUACACAAUUUUAUCCGAAAACAUGUUGGUCAAAAUGAUGUAGAUUUUAUGGAAUACGAAGAUAUUAACUCGGCAUAUGAGAAUAGUAUUGAUUCAGAAAAUGCGCAUGGGCCACAAAGUGAUGAUGAUGACGACGACGACGACGAUGAUAGUAAUGAUGAUGGUGAAUCAAACAUUUUUAGUGGUUUUGAAAUGGAAUUAACAAGAGAUGCUAUAGUUUCUAGUUUAAUGAAUUCAAUUUAAAUUGUAAAUGCUAUUGUAAAAUUUUUAGUAUUUAUAUCUGAUAUAUAAAUAUUAUCCCCUUUUUAAAACUUCAAUCCAAAUAUAUCUAAUAUUUUAAUUUGUUAAGUUUAUGUUUUCUAUGUUAUAUUAAUAUCUAAUAUGAGUUAUAUAUUCAAAUAUAUUUUAAAAUAAAAUAAUACAAGCGUGUUAAAAGUAUUAAUUAAAAAUAAAAAAUAAUUUUUAUAAUAAUACAAUCGUGUCAAUAUCUAAUUACAAAUAUUUAAAUAUUUAAAUAUAGUUUAUAUAUUCUAAUUAAAUUUUAUAAAUAAUUAAUAUUAAUUACUUAGAAAUAUUUAAAAUUAAUAUUAUAUAUUAAAAUAUUAACAAUAAGUUAUAAUAAAUUAUUUUUUUAUAUUUUUGCUAAAAUAUCAUAAUAUUAACUAAUUUGAACAUUAUUUAAAAACAUAUUUGUUACUUUAUAAUCUCAUGUCUAAAAUGGACAUUUUAUUCUUCAAAAAUACUUUUUAACACUAAUAGCAAACACUCAAAUUUUUCAAAAGCACUUCUUAAAAAUAAUUCUCAAAAGCAUUUCUCAAAAGUAACGAAAAACUAGCCCUUAACGCCCCGUUCUUCUGCACGUUUUAGAAGUGCUUUUGGCUGAAAAAUCCUUUUCCUUUAAAAGGAAUGAAGAACAGCCUCCUUUUCUUCUGAAAAUUUCACCAUCAGAAAAGGACUUCUCUCCAGAUGAAAAGUUAAAAUUUCUCUUUUUUUUCAGCUUAAAGUGCUUUUGGCUGAAAAUUGACCAAAUUAACCUAUCGUCUUCUCCCACAAACUUUCUUUCCCCUCCUCUGCUGGUUCUUUGGAACUGUCUUCUCCCACAAACGUGCUUUUGGCUGAAAAGAACAGAAAUUUGAUUUCUCAAAUUUUUCCACAAACGUGCUUUGGAACUGUCUUCUCCCACAAACGCUCUCCCACUCCCGCGACGGGGCGCUGUCAAUCGGCUGUGCUUCAGGGUCGAAGGAAGCAUAUGGAAGGUCUCACUGUCUGCAUGCUCGAUCUCCACAUUCCCUUCCCGAGUAUCUCUCUUUCUUCAUAUCUUUUUUUUUGUGCGGCUUCGUGGUUUUAUUAGAAUGCGUUCAUAGGGGAAUUAGUCUUACGAUUAAUAUUUUCUCUUGUAAAAAGGAUAAAUUGAUGUUGCAAUUUAAUGACAGUUUUUAUGCUAUGGAUUGAGAAUGAGAUUCUAGGGUUUUUCAUUGAAUGAAUUUGCUUUUGGUUGUUUUAUUAACAAACUUCAUCGCUUCGCUUAAGAAAAAAAAAAUCCUUCUUUUAAGAUUGAAUUUAUGAAGUUUUAUCGGUUAAUUAAAUGCUUAGCUCUUUUCUAAUGACUGUAACCAAUGUAGCAAUGAUAUUAAAGAAGGUUUAGUUAUAAAAGUGGAGAGAUAUUAUGCUAAACCGAACUACUAACUUCAAUAGUUUACUUCUUAGUGUUCUUAUAGAGGCAAUUUUGUUUGAAAAGGAUCUUUCUAAACAAUGUAAGAUUUGGUAUUUUUGCUUAUUUUGUGAUGGUUGAAGAAGUUUGUGCGUAUCACUGAUUUAAUAACUUUGUCUAACGUCUCAUCCUAUGUUUUAUUUUUAAUACAUAAAUUUUUGAUACAUUGGAGCAGGCAAAAUUGGGGUUAAGGAAGUUUCAGUCGGAGUUGUUGCAGUUUUUGAUGGUCAUAAUGGUGCUGAAGCUAGUGAGAUGGCUUCAAAACUUUUACUGGAGUAUUUUGCUCUAUAUACAUAUUUCCUUUUGGAUGCAACUUUUUCCUUUGUAUUGAAGAAGCAGUCAAGUAGGUUGCCAAAUGUAGGAGAAGGGGAUAUUGUUUUCUGUUGCGGAAAGGAUCGAUUCGAGAACUCCGAUAUGACUACAAGUAAAUUGACCGAAACGAAAAAUAAAGUGAACACAAGGAUUUACGUGGUUCGGCUUUAAUGCCUACGUCCACGGGCAGAGGCGAAAAGAAAUUUCACUAUAACAAGAUGAAGAUUACAAGUGUUUUACACUCAAGACACAACCCGAGAACCUCACAACUCUCAACCCCUAUAGAAAACCCGAAAGCUAAAAUCCUAGCUUUCAAAGAACAAGCUUUGCUCUCUCUUGGUUUGGGAUGAUCAAUAUGGCUAAUGAACCUCUCUAUUUAUAAGAGAGUUCAAGGACAUAAUUGUCCAAAACUUUGGCAAAGAUUUGUGGUUGAAAAUGGACACCAACAACCAUCCACUAAUCCACUACCACCAACAACCCACUACCAACAACAACAAUCCACUACCAAUUUUAAGCCAUUUCUUAACAAAUCUCCACCUUGGCUUGAAAUUUACCAAGCUGAACAUCAUAGAAACUCCAAGCCAUUAUCCGUCCGGAAUCGCUUGAUCUUCUUUCCUGUUUGAUUUUCGAUCAAAGCUUUAAAUUGCUUGAAGUUGAUGAGAACCUCAUACUUGCUCUUCAGAAAAUACACCCAAACCUUUCUCGAGUAAUCAUCGAUAAAGGUAAGCAGAUAUCUGUAACCACCUUUAGAAAUUGUCGGAGAAGGCCCCCAAAGGUCAGAAUGGAAGUAAUCCACUGUGCCUUUUGUCUUGUGAAUCCCAGUGCUGAACUUUACCCGAGUCUGCUUACCGAAGACGCAGUGCUCACAGAAAUUCAACUUUCCUGUACACUGCCCAGACAAUAAUCCUCGUUUGCUUAGCACCGAUAAGCCUCUCUCGCUCAUAUGCCCGAGCCGCAUAUGCCAUAACUUCGUGGUGUCAGAAUCUAGAUCAUCUGAUGAUGACACUCCCGCAACACCUGUAACCGAGGAACCAUCGAGGAAGUAAAGGCCCCGCUCCAAAUUACCACGUAUCACAGUCAAAGCACCCGAGAAUACCUUGAGAACUCCACCUUCAGCAGAGUACCGAAAGCCUUUCUUGUCCAACGUACUCAAAGAGAUCAAAUUUUUCUUCAUUUCUGGAAUGUGCCGAACAUCAGUUAGAGUUCUAACAAUACCGUCAAACAUCUUUAUACGAACUGUGCCAAUCCCCAUGACUUGACAUGCGUGGUCAUUUCCCAUUAGUACUGAACCAGAAUGCUUCUCGUAUGUUGAGAAUGCAUCUUUCGAAGUACUUAUAUGAAAUGUAGCUCCCGUAUCAAGAAUCCAUCUCCCACCAGCGUAAGAGUCGGAUACUGCAAGAACGAUCUCGGCAUCACUUGAAGAAUCUGCAUCAGCUACAUUCGCACGAUCAUUUUGUUGCUCCUGUGAUUCUGAUUUCUCCUUCCUUUUCGGACAAUCUACCUUCAUGUGCCCGUACUUCUUACAGUAGUAGCACUGUAUUCUCUUCUUGGACUGCGAUCUAGGAUGGCUUUUACUUGAACUUCCACCCUUUGCCUUGGAUCUUCCUCGAGCAACCAAGCCUUCGCCUUCAUUGUUUUCGACCACCUUACCAGUGAUUUUCUUCCUCAACUCACUGGAACUUAAGGCAUUUUUCACCUCCUCUAGAGUCAGGUCAUCACGACCGUACAUCAUUGUAUCAACAAAAUUCUCAUACGAGGGAGGCAAAGAACACAAAACAAUUAUUGCUUGGUCCUCAUCAUCGAUUUUGUUAUCGAUAUUAUUCAAAUCCAUGAUAAUGGAAUUGAAUUUAUCCAGGUGCUGGGAAACAGGUGUACCUUCCUCCAUCUUCAGGGCAUAGAGUCUUUGCUUGAGGUAGAGCCGGUUCGUCAAUGACUUCGUCAUGUACUUGCUCUCUAACCGGAGCCACAAACCGGACGCGGUUUUCUCAUCCGCUACUUCUCGUAGCACUUCAUCUCCUAGACAUAGCAGAAUAGCACUAUGUGCUCUUUCUAGCAUGUCAUCCUUUUGCUCUUCCGAAAGCGUGCUUGGUAAUUUAUCUUUACCAGACAAUGCUUUUAGCAAUCCUUGUUGAACCAGCACUGCCCGCAUCUUGAUGCGCCAUAAACUGAAACUAUUUUUCCCGGUAAAUUUCUCGACAUCAUACUUAGUCGAUGAAACACUUGUAGCCAUAAUUUGGAACCUUUGAAUGAAUGAUAAUAUUUUCUUCCUGAUGUGAAAGAUCAGACAAAGCUGCAGUCACAGGGCAAUUCAGAAAAUAUUAUCACUCCUUCAACUACGCUCUGAUACCAAUUUGUUGCGGAAAGGAUCGAUUCGAGAACUCCGAUAUGACUACAAGUAAAUUGACCGAAACGAAAAAUAAAGUGAACACAAGGAUUUACGUGGUUCGGCUUUAAUGCCUACGUCCACGGGCAGAGGCGAAAAGAAAUUUCACUAUAACAAGAUGAAGAUUACAAGUGUUUUACACUCAAGACACAACCCGAGAACCUCACAACUCUCAACCCCUAUAGAAAACCCGAAAGCUAAAAUCCUAGCUUUCAAAGAACAAGCUUUGCUCUCUCUUGGUUUGGGAUGAUCAAUAUGGCUAAUGAACCUCUCUAUUUAUAAGAGAGUUCAAGGACAUAAUUGUCCAAAACUUUGGCAAAGAUUUGUGGUUGAAAAUGGACACCAACAACCAUCCACUAAUCCACUACCACCAACAACCCACUACCAACAACAACAAUCCACUACCAAUUUUAAGCCAUUUCUUAACAUUUUCCAAGUGCUUAAUUGGGACAAAGAGAUUGGAAAGCAUGGCUUGAACCUUGAAAGGUGAUAUCAUGUGUAACUCAGACCAUAUUUAUGUUUGAGUUCCUUGUUUUAGAAAAUGGAUAUAGCUGUUGCUUGCUGUUGACGAUUCUUAACCCAAAGUAUUAAUGCUUGCUCAGAUUAUUAACCCAAUGUUUAUUUCAUCAUCUUAAAGUUGCUUCCUGUUUGCUUCUACCUGCUAUUCAGCUGGUUGUGGGAAUUAGCCAUCCCUGGUGGAUUUCUCUGACAUUUUUCAUUGGAAGCUGUAUUAGGCUAGUGGAUUGGUCUUUGACUAGCAAUUUUCUAGGACUAUUCAGGUGAUUGCUUCUUGACUCUUUGUACAUUGUUCUAUUUCAUUUUCUUUGUCAAUGAAUUUGGUUUUAUCAUUGGUUAAUGUUUUUAGUAGCUUAUGUUCUGUUUCUUUUUUGUCAAGGUUGUGGAAGGCUCUCCAGUUUUAUGCAGGCUUCAGCAUUUUCAUGCUUUAUGUGUAUCAACUCCUUAUAGAGUUCUCAAGUAUGUUACAGUGGAUAGCUGAUUUUGUUGGUCUAUUCAAAAUAUGUUCAACAUCUGAGUGGACUGAAAUUUGCUCUUCUGUUUCUCUUGUACUUUAUUACAUCAUGGUAUGUACUAGUUUUAUUACUAUAGGUCUGAUUCUGUUUAAAGAUUUUAGCUGAACCUUUUAAUGAAAUGCAAUUCACUCUUCCCUCUUCCUAGAAUCUUAUAUUAUGAAAUUGACUUCAUUUGAGUCUUUCCUGUGUCUGACAUUUGUCUAUCUAAUAGUCUUUUCCCCAUAUUACUAAUUUAAGAUGGUUUGAAGUGUUUUCUUUCUAUAAGAAAAAUUUCCCGAACAGAUAUGAAGUAAUUAGUUGCAAACUAGACUUUGGAGAUUGAUGACAUUUUUGCCAUUCUGGAUGCAAUUUUUAUUCAAUUUGCUCAAUGAAAUUGCAAUUGAAAAUUUGAGAGCUUCCUAGUUAGAAACCACAUAUUUAUAUAAUAUAUGUUUUUAAUAGUUUUGAACAAGUUAAAUUAAUUAUAAAGAAAUAAUAUAAUUGAGAACAAGAUUAGAGCAGCUCGUUUGUACAUCUCAAUCUUAAUAUUAAGUGAUUGAUGACUCUAAGCUACUUAAAAACAAGAAGACAAUCAAUCUUCACUUUAAUUUGUAUGACGCAAAGUUUUUAAAACCAUUUCUAAGAACCGUUAAGAAAUAAUAGAUACAAGAUCUAAUCAAAACAUCAUGUAACGACCCAACCAAAACCCACCAAAGAGAUAUCCAAAAUCUCAAAUUUGGAAUUAAAGGUCAACGUAAACACAAAAUUCUCCAAAAGUAUUAUGAGUUCUAACCUUUUAAUGGGUAUAAUUUUUAAGGUUUUACAAUAGCCUAUUUACAUGCAAAAUUUGUAGCCCAAAUAAUAAUAAAAUAAUAUAAACUAAUCAAUGUUUAACUAAAAUAAAUAAAUAGAGUUUAGCUGAAAGAUUACCUCUCAAAUUUAAUCGAAAUAUGAGGCAAGGUAUCACUUCAAUGGUAUAAAGCUACAUAAAAUCUUAGUUAUGUCUUUGAAAUAUUUUCAUAAAGGCAUGUGCAAAAACUUUUUCAUUCUUAACAAAUUCAUUCCACUCAAUAUUAUUUAUUUAAAAUCAAAACCACAUUUAUUUUUAAACAACAUCUAAUAAUGUAUUUGGCUCAUCCAACAAUUUAUUUUUAAACGACAUUUAUUUAAAAAGAACCAAAUGAGAAUCAUUAUACAACUUCAUAAAGUCGAUGACACAUCCAACAUUUAAAGCACAAAGAAACUAGAUAGGCCAACAACAAAACAAUAAUGCCAACAUUCUCAAAUACGGCAACAAAUUUGUUCUAAAAACAAAAGUAAGCGCAUCGCACCUAGAGCGUAGAAAUACUUGAAUUCAAUCAUUGUAACAACGAAAAAGGAAACAAGACAUCCAACAUCCUCAUCACAAUAGAUUCUCCUUUGACCCGCCAACAGCGUUUGCAAUGCAAUAAAACAAAAAGAGGUUAUUGUGAUAGCAACUCUUAUAAAUAUUCCAAAAUUAACUUUUAGAUGCAUCAAGUCUUAAUCUAAGGGAAAGGGUUUAUCCAAACAUGAAAAAUCUAACCAACUCAAUUCAAUUCAACCCAACCUCAACCUAUCUAUAUAGUUUACUUUUAAUUUAUAUCUAAUUUCAAUUAUGGUUUAAAUUUAAAUAUUUUUUAACAAAAAUUUUAAAUACUUAAUAUUGAACAAAUAGCCAUAUUUAUGAAAAAAUUUGUAAUUAUGAACAUAACUUAACACAUAGGUAAAAGUAUUUUUUUUACUUAAUAAUAUUAUUAGCAAUAGUACGUUAUUAAUUGUAUAUGAAAAUAAUGAAGCUUAAAAAUUAAAAUUUAAAGACAAUGUCAUUGUCAAAUUUACUCAAUUUAUUUUUAACCAUAGUUACCUAUGUACAUAUGUGACACACAUAAUAAGAUGCUAAUAUAUAUAAGGCAAAAUAUUAUAAAGUUAAACGGUUAGAUAAUGAAGUGAAAUGUUUCUAACCUUAUGCAAUAUUUGAACUUGUUAUAGUAACAGUAUCCAAUGAUGUACUUGGCUCAUCAUUAGAGUUCUCACACCUAUGAACCUCCAUUGAUGUUUCAAGCGGCAGUUGAUGGAAUGGCUUAGGAGCCAUUUCAAGGAGUUCAACAUCAGAUUCAAGCAUCUUCAAAACUUUACUCAUUGAAGGACGAUCAGAAGGCAGUAAUUGUAUACACCAAAAGGCUGUUAUUACCAUUUUCUUUACCAUUGCUUUUUCAUCGUCAGAAACAUCUCCCAACUCCAAGUCAUCUCCUUGAUCUAAUCGGUCAUAAAUCCAAGAUGGAAAAUAUAUUUGACUAGUGUGGUCAGCAAAUGCAUUCACAUUCUUUCUCCUUCCAACUAUUUCCAUCAGUAACAUUCCAAAACUAUAAACAUCGGCUUUGUAUGAGAUGCCUCCAAGAUUUUUGUAAACCAAUUCAGGAGCAAUAUAUCCUAUCGUUCCUCGUGCCGCAGUGAGAGAGACAAUGCUAUUAUCUACUGAAUACAAUUUAGCAAGACCAAAAUCCGAAACUUUUGGAUUAAAAUUCUCAUCAAGAAGAAUAUUGUGUGGCUUGAUAUCAAAAUGUAGAAUUUGCAUGUCACAUCCUUGAUGUAAGUAGUGAAUUCCUUGAGCCACCCCAAGUACAAUAUCAAACAUUUUUUUCCAGCCCAAAGUGUUCUUAUUUUCUUCUGUAAAUAUGAUUUUAUCUAAAGAUCCAUUAGACAUGAAGUCAUAUACUAGAGCUUGCUUUGAUCCCUCCACACAAAAUCCGAUAAGUUUUGCCACAUUAGCAUGAUGAAUUGUCCCAAUGGAAGCAACUUCGUUUAUGAAAUCUUGGCCAUUACCUUUUGAUUUGCCCAACAAUUUUAUUGCCACAUGAUGGCCGCUACGAAGCUUUCCUUUAAACACUGAGCCAUAACCCCCUUCACCUAAUUUAUCUUUAAAAUUGUUAGUCAUUUUUUUAAUUUCUUUAAAAGAAUACCUUAAUGGCACUAGAUUAUUUUGGCUUUUAAGGAACUCUUCGAUCAUAUCAUCCAUGGAUAAAUGUCUUCUUCUCCAUUUGUACGUGACAAAAGCAAGCAAACAAAUGAUCCCAGGAAAUGACCUCAAGAUAACUCCACCUUUAAAGAAAUACAAUGUAACAUGUUGAAAUUAAUCACAUAAUAUAUAACUUACAUUCUCAGAAAAAAGGAUAUAGUGUGAUAGUUUUAUGUUAACUAGUAUUUGAGAGAGUGGCAUAUUUCACUAGUCUAUGGACUUAACCGAGAGUAGUCUGAAUUAUAUGCAUUGUUUUUGUCAUUAGCAGGUAUAUCUCAACAAAUUAAAAUUCAGAAUUUCAAACACAAAAGGAGUAAAUCGUGCAAAGUGGAUACCAAUUAUUCUAACCUCAAACAUUCCAAUAGAUUUGACAGGGUCAUGACAUUCAGCCAAAUUAACACAUUCGUAACCCCAUCCAAUUAGCAAAUUCUAAAGAAAGAACAUGAUUCUUAACCAUGAAGGAUACUCAACUGUUGUUUCUAUUCAUGCCAAAUAAACUUGAAGAAGGACAAAUUAAAAAUAUAAUAACCUUCAAAUUUCAUAAAUGAAACAAAAUCUAACCACCAAAAGAUGCAAGAGAACCCCCCAAAAAACAGAUUUGAUAAAUUCAAGAGCUAACUUUGUUGAAUGUUUUAGCAAAAUGAAUAUCCACCAAACUUAUAACCUGUGAAAGUUCUAAACAAUACCAUUAUGGAAACAAGCUUAACUAAAACUCUAACAUCUUUCUUAACUUGACAAAAAAUUUCUUUCAUAUAGAAGAAGAUUGUAUUCUGCAUUCAAACUCCGUAAAGAGUGUCAUAGCUUUCUUAGUUUUGUAGUGAAAUUAAAUAUAAACUUGUAUAAUAUGAUAGGCUCCUUAUUCUUUUUUUCCCCCAGAAUAUAGCUAAUAUUUGUUCUCAACUAGUGAAAAUGCAAAUCUGCAAAUCUAAAAUUAAAUAUACCUGUUAUUAGCAAACAGAGACGACAAGCUCCGAGCAAUCUGGAUUAUAUAUUCAACAAAUCAAAGUAAAAUUAAUAAAGGGGUGUAAAGGAAAAUUCCAAAUUUGUGUAAAAAAAUCAAUGGAAGGUAAUUUAAAACAUUAUAUUAUGUUUUGUGGUAUAUACUCAAAAAAAAAAUACAACAAUUCUUUACAUAUGUUUGCUUGUAAAAAGUAUGCAACAUGUAUUACAGUAUAAGAGUUUUUAGGUAACUAAAAUGAUUUAAUAUAAUCAAAGGUGAGACAAAUUUUAUUCAAAUUAAUUAAUCCAAAAAGUAUAUAUUAUUGCAUUAAAAAGAGUUUUUGCGAAAAAAAUAAACUCAUCCACAAUGGUGGAAUAUUUACGUACUACCAACUAAAUUGAAUAGACAUCAAAAAUAAAAAGAAAAUAAAAAGAUAGACAUAAUCAAAUAUAAUUGUCCAAAAAGAAGACAAAACAGCAGAGAAAGCAGAGGCAGAUACUAAAUUAGAAAUGCUUUUAGUUCAUUUGAUUGUUAGAUGUUGAUCAAUUUUAGAUGCAAAAUCAUCAUACUUAUUUACCAUCAUAAAAUUUAAUUGCCAAAAAAGUAACAUAAAAUAAAACAAAACAUAAAGUAGAUGUUGUAACUAAAAAUUCCAGUAUGAUGCACACUCAAAAUGCAAACUUUAAUUAUUAAAGAAACUUACAUUUCUUUCAACGAAACUUUGUUUUGGUAAUCGCAUCUUUUCCAUUCGACCCAAAAACCCUCUAAUAGUUUUUUGUAGAUAUCCAGCGUAGACAUGCCUAUUAUAUUAUCAACCAUAAUUGGAACCGCCGCUUCGAUAGUGCAAGCUUGAUUGAUAUAAGAUAGCUGGGUGUUUCCAUUUAAAAAAUAGAAAUGGGAAGUUGGCAGGGAAGAGGAGGUAUUGGAUUUGAUGGUACAACGAGAAGCCUCAAUAUAAAGUGACGAUUUUAUAGGUUUCGUGCAAUUCAUAACAUAAAUAAUGCUAUAAUCUAACCUUUUAUAACCAGAAAGAAAAUAAUUAUUAUUAUAAAAAAAAAAUUAUUAUUAUUUUUAUUAAUACCAUUAUAAGAAAAAUAAUCUACAGAAGUAAGAGGAAGGGAGUUGCAAUCAUCCGUGUCUAAACUCGCAUCGACCAUUCGUAUUGUAGAAUUUUCGUAAAAGAUUUGUUGGACAGAGAAUUUCCCUCCUCUCCCAACCAAAGUGGUGCGAUUAUUGUUCUCACACUCAAGUUCCAUGACAGGAGAACCACAGUGGGGAGGUUGGUUUUUUAAUCGGAAUGGAAAACUGAUAUUCAAAUUCCCACAGAAAGUAUAGCCGCAGUCUUGGUUAAUAAGACUCCUAGCAAAACAAACAGCAGGAAAUAGAACUACAAAUAAAGCAAAAGAGGGCAUUAGGUGACCCAACAAUGGCAGUUUUGCUUUUAAUUUUGGCAUGCUAAAAUUUUGGGUAGGGAAGAAGAACAACAAUGAGGGUUAACGAUUAAGUUUCUAACUAAACCAGGGAAAUAUAUAAGAAA
This 82843-nucleotide long non-coding RNA is filed under the name Gossypium barbadense (sea-island cotton). RNAcentral describes it as "long non-coding RNA (GBAR_LNC013159)". The record is from RNAcentral. Lineage: Eukaryota; Viridiplantae; Streptophyta; Magnoliopsida; Malvales; Malvaceae.